This 81686-nucleotide long non-coding RNA is filed under the name Citrus maxima (pomelo). RNAcentral's name for it is "long non-coding RNA (CMAX_LNC002501)". Lineage: Eukaryota; Viridiplantae; Streptophyta; Magnoliopsida; Sapindales; Rutaceae. The record is from RNAcentral.
AGGAAAACAGGAGCAAGCAAAUAAGAAAGAAGCAAAUUAUAAUCAUGGCUUCUACAGCUGAUCAGGAAGAAGAGACAAAUAAUUUUUCAUAUGCAAUGGAACUGGCAAGUGCCAUAGUGCUACCUGCAGCUAUGCAAGCAGCGGUAGAGCUUGAUGUGUUUGAGAUCAUAAGCAAAGCUGGUCCCGGUGCUAAGCUUUCGGUUUCGGAAAUUGUGGCUCAAAUUCCCUUAAAAGGUAAUAAUCCUGAAACUGCAGCCAUGACGUUGGAGCGGGUGCUGAGGCUGCUUGUCAGCUACAAUGCUCUUCAUUGCUCUUUUGUUGAUGGACAAAGGCUCUACUCUCUUGCUCCUGUUUCUGCAUACUUCGUUCGCAAUAAUCAAAACGGCGCGUCGUUGCGUCCCUACAUGGCCUGGUGUCUUGACAAGGUCCUCAUGGAUGGCUGGUAUAUAGAAUUACUUUUUCUCUUUUCUUUUCUUUGCUAAUUUUAGUAAAUUAAGGAAAAUUAUCAAAACCUUCUAGUUGUAUAUAUCCAAAAAUUAAUCAUUUGUAUCACAUGUUUUGAACCCAUCAAAAUCCGUCAGCUGCUAAAAAGACAGCUAUCUUCAAUUAUUUUAUUUUGUUGUGGUAAAAAACAAAAAAAAAAGCUUAAAGUCCAAGCGUUUUUGAAAUAUGAAAGUAGAAAGGAUUGAUUGUAACAAACAAUUAAUAAAGUAUUCUUUAUCUUGGUUAAUUAUGCGGUCUAAUUUUACAAACUAAGCUUCUAAAAUUGUUACUAACUGUGUUUGGAUUUUGGAAAAUUCAGGUUUCGGUUGAAAGAGCAAAUUCUUGAAGGAGGAAUGGCGUUUAAUAAAGUGCACGGAAUGGAUAUGUACGAUUACAUGGGCGUUGACUCAAGAUUCAAUGAUGUUUUCAACAAUGGAAUGUCAAGCCACACUUCUGUCGUCAUGGAGAAGGUCCUAGAAUCAUACAAAGGCUUUGAGCAUGUUAAGAAGCUUGUUGAUGUUGGCGGCGGCUUAGGAGCUACUCUUAACAUGAUAAUUUCUAAAUACCCUCAUAUUAAGGGUAUUAAUUAUGAUUUACCUUAUGUUAUUAAAAAUGCCCCAUCUUAUCCUGGUAUGUUACUUACAAAAUUUAUAAAGUAUUUUUGUUAAUGAUUCAUUGAGAUACACGAUAGCUAACAAUUUUUUUUUUUUUUUUUUUUAAUUUCAGGCAUUGAACAUGUAGGUGGAGACUUGUUUGAAAGUGUUCCUGAGGCAGAUACCAUUUUCAUGAAGGUUAUAUGUGUGUGUUAUUUGAAAUCAUCGUUAUAAGGAAAAAUCAAAAAUUGAUAUAGGGUGAAUCACACUUUUUCCCCUAAUAUUUUGUGGGUUGACUUUGGCCCGUUACUCAUUUGGUAUUAAAAUUUUCACAAAAACACUUAAAGGGAAUACCAAAUAUUAUGAAAACAGUAAAAAAAAAAAGGGGGGGGGGGGGGGGGGGGUGUAAAACUGUCUCUCUCUUUCUUUUUCUCUAGUUGUAAAGGGGUGGCCAAAGCCCAAAUUGAUUAUUUAAAAACCACUGGACUAGCUCCUGAUGCAAAGUGUCAAUCUUUCUGGAUUAUAUACCUACGUUUUGUUCAAUAAUAUAAAUUGAUCAUAGAUAUUCAGAUUAAUAGAUCUAAUGAGAAUUAACAUGAAUAUUAAACUUUUGCAGUGGGUCCUUAAUGGUUUUGAUGAUGAGCAGUCCUUGAAAUUGUUGAAAAAUUGUUACAAAGCUCUUCCGGAUGGUGGGAAGUUGCUUAAUGUUAAUGCAGCAUUUCCAGAAGUGCCUGAGAAUAGCGCGACUUCAAGGGAGAUCUCCCUCUUGGAUACAAUUUGUUUAAUCCAAGUUCCUCAUGGAAGAGAGCGGACCAAACAAGAAUACAGUGACUUAGCAAUCAAAGCUGGAUUUAAAGGCGUCAACUACGAAUAUGGUGCAUGCAAUUUAUAUGUUAUGGAAUUCCUCAAAUAAUAAAUUGCUUUACUUGUACUAGGAAAGGUCUUCUCAACUCUCUUUGGGGAGUUACAAUUUCUGGUUUGUGUUAAUUUUUCUCUUAUGUACUCUUUUUCAUCCUAUAAGCAUCUGUCUCUUUAAGGGAGAUUGACUGCCUUGUAAGGUAGCUCUUAUGUAAUAUUUUCCAUUUUUAUUUUUACUGUUGCAGCAUGUGAUACCUUUUUUUUAUCGAGGAAAAAAAUAGUGUAUUCAUCUUACAUUGUUAUUUUUUUCUUUUUUAAGUUAUUGCAAAGUUAUGUUGUGCAAAAAUCAGCAAUAUAUAAUUAAUAAUUUAAUGUAAUAAAGUUUGAUUUUUGAACGUAGUAAAAUAUACAGUAACUGAAUCGAAUAAAAUCUGAAAAAAUAUUGAAAAUGGAUUAUAGAGAUAUUAAUUUUUCAUUAAACAACUACUGAGAGCUAAUGAUGUAGGGCGUUAUUUUAAAAAUUUUAAGAUUUUAGAAUUUAUUAUUUUAGAACUUUAUAUUUUAAUUAGAGUAAUUUUGGUAUUUUAUUAAUUUACUACUUUCUAUUUUCAUUAGAGUCAAUUAAGUUAUGAGAUUUAGUUAACUUAGGAAAAUACCUUUUUAUUUCCAUUAUAAUUAUGAUUUAGUUUCCUAUUUUUAAGUUAACUUAGGGAAAAUAUAUUUUAUUUUUAUUAUAAUUAUGAUUUAUUUUUUCUUUUUGAGUUAGCUUAAAAGAGUGAGUUUCUCUAUUAUAAAUAGAGAGAUCUUAUCAUUAUUCUAUAAACUUUUAUUCCAAAAUUUAUUUACUCUAUCCUCUUUACAAUUCCUCUUCGUCAACUAAUAUAGAUCAAAGGGGUUAAAAAAAAAAGGUAGAAGUCUUUCGAAACAAGUGACAGAUGACAACACAAUCAGAAUAGAAGUAAAUAACAUAAGUUAGCACUGGCAAAAGGAUUUCCAGCGUUUCGUCUAAGGCACAAUAGACCCAACGGUUGAUAGAACAAAACAAAUAGUUGAUUUUUGUAAUUAUUGUGAAUAUAGUCUUUUGUUUUACAACGCAUUAAAUAUGUUUAUAUAUUUUUUGUAAAAGUCAAGCAAUGAGAUGUAGAGAACGAUUAUUGUUUUCACCAUAUCGAGUACCUCAAAGAUUAUCUCAAAUAUUUUUCAUGUUCUGUCUGCCUUCUAGAGGUGCACAGUGAUGGGUGAAAAGAGGAAAAUGAAAAAAGAUUUAAAAAAAAAUUAUAACUUCCUUUAAUGCGGGGUCGUUUUGGUUCGAUGUGUGUUGAAAAUUUUUUCGGGUGCUAGCUGUCGCUAUCUCCGACUUCAAAAAUCUUGUCUUAAAAUAUUAAUAUAGGCCCCAAGCCUAGGGAUGGCAAUGGGCACCGUCCGCAGCGGGUUUGCCAUUACUAAACCCAAACCCGCACAAAAUUUAAAUUACCAAACCCACCAGCAACCCGCAACGGAUUUUAAUUUUUUUUUAAAAACCCACCCGCAGCGGGUUUUAACAAUUACCAAACCCGCAAUGGUACCCGACGGAUUUUUUGCGGGUUUCCGUAUUUAAAAUCACAAAUGUUUAAUAUAUAAAUUUAUAAUAAUAACCUCAAAUUCCAUAUAACACACUCAAUUUUAUAUUUAAACAAUGUAAAUGAAAAAUUAAAAUUUCCACAUUAAUCCAACACAAAUUCUUAAAUUUAAGUAUAAAUUACACAAAUUCAUUUAAAAAACACAAACUAGUAUCUAAAAAUAAUAAUUACAUUUCAUAUUAUCAUUUAAAACAAGCUCCAAGAGAAGAUAUUCAUUUCAUUCACUACUAUAAGCACCCAUCCAACACAAUGCCUAUAAUAAUAAUUAAGAUUAAUAUUUUUAAAUACUAAUUCGAAGGAAAAUGCCUUUAGUUUUCUUUAGGUUAUGACUUUAGAAUGAGAGAUGGGCCACAUACACGCAUACACAACUUUGAACAUUUGGCUAUUUGGUAAUUUGAAUAAUGACAUUAUUUUCUUUAUAUAUUUUUAGAUUAAAAUUAAAUUAAAAAUAUUUGGAAAAAAUAUUACGGGUUUGGUGGAUAUCCAUGCGGGUAUCCACCGGAUAUAAGGUUAAUACCAAACCCACCCGCAUCCAUGUGCGGGUUUUAGUUUAUAAUACUAAACCCGCCCGCAACGGAUAAAAUUACCCGCAGCGGGCGGGUUUUGGCGGGUGGGUUUGGACGGAUUUACGGGUUUGCGGGUAUAAUUGCCAUCCCUACCCAAGCCCCCAUCCACUUUGCCUCUGUGAUUAAGAACCUCAUUCUUUGUCUUUUAGCUAACCCACCGCUGCUUUAUAAGUCGAUAAUUUUGUUUUUUGUUUUUCUUUUUUGUGUCAACUCAAUUGAAAGCUCUGCCCACUUGUAGAAAAAUCCCAUAAUGGGUUCCACUAGGUUACAGCAGUGGCACGUAUAAUUUCUUUUUGUCUUCUGUGACAUAUUUUCAUGUAACCCCUCUUAUUUAUUUUUAUUUAAUAUUUAUUCCAUAAGUAUUAAGUUAAUUUCUACCUACACUUACAGCUACAUUUCGGUUAGCUCUUUAUACUAUUUUAUAUUUACAGAUAUUUUGUUCAAUGUUGCACAUGUAUCACAAUGCCCCCUCUUUAUUAUUUUGAAGUUAAAUCAUUGACAUGUUUAAUUUAAAACCUUACACUCCUUUUUAAUCAUAAUCUUUUUAAAUAUUAGGGUUUUUUUUUUACAUUUACUACCAAAUUUCAUUUAACACCUUACAUUCUUUUUAUUUCGAUUUUUUUUUAUAAAUAUUAUGAUAAUUUUUUCUUGUAUUCAUAACAAAUUAUAUCAUCUCAAUAGUUCUAUUACAAAAAGUAUUAUAGUUUUUCACACUCUUAUUUUUAUUAUGUUAUUUAAUUCAAGUAUUUUUAUAUUAUGGGUGCAUUUAUAAGUUAUAACUACUUUUUCCUUUAUUUUCAUCAUUAGACUUAUAACUGUUUUUUGCUAUAUUCAACCUCUAGACUUGUGAUUUUGUUAGUAAUCAUGUGUUGUUUACUGUUAUAUUUUUUAUUAGACCAAUAAUAUUUUCUAGGUUUUGUAUGGUUUAUCAUGUAAUUUUACAUGUAACCAUAUACUUGUUUUACCUUGGUCUGGAUUUGGGGAUUUUGCAAUAUUUAUGGACACAUGGUGCAUUGUAAGUGGCUAUAGAUUUUAGCACUUACAAGAUAUAUUAACUAAUAUUAUUUAAACUUAUUAAUAAAAGAAAUUUAAGUAAUUAAUAGAUAUAAUUAUUAUUAUUAGAAAAUUUUAAUUUAUUAUAAUUUAAUUUGAUCAUCAACUACUGUAUCAAUUUGGCAACCGUAUUAAGCAAACAAUGAGGCAAAUCUUAGUGUUACUUUAUUAUAAUUGUUAAUGUUAACUACAAUUUUAUGUGAACCUGAGUAGCUAGAAAAUAUAAAUAUGAAUUAGUUUGUAAUAGAACUAUUAGGAUUACAUAAUUUGCUAAGCAUGUAAGUAAAAAGUACUAUAAUAUUUAUUAAAAAAUUUGUAAUAUAAAGAGUGUAUAGUAUUAAAUGAAAUUUUAUAGUGGAUUUAAAAAAAUCCUAAUACUUAAAAAAAAAAAGAGUUUAAGGUUCUAAAGUAAACAUGUCAAUUAUUUAAUAUCAAAACAGUAAAGAAGGGGUAUUGUUAUACAUGUGUAAUAUAGAAUAAAAAUUUAUAAAUAUUAAAUAUGUAAGGUGCUAAUUGAAAUGUGUCUAUGGAUGCAGGUAGAAAUUAACUUCGUAUUUAUGAAGUAAAUGUUAAAUAAAAAUGAGUGGAAGGGGUCAUAUGAAAUAUUACAGUGUACCGCCACAAAAGACAAAAUAAGUUCCACGGUACUCCUUAUGUAACAUAGCUGAACCCUACUUUUAAAAAGUAUUAAAAAUUGUAACUAAUUUUAGUUUACGCCAGCUGGAAUUUGUAGAAGCGAAUUCCAAUCAUGCCUGGUGUGCAAUUAAUAACAUGUGGGCGAAGACAAUUUGGGAGCUUGGAACUCUCCAAACUCCAAUGAGAUAAUAAAAUAUGUUAGUUAAUCAGGCUUUUUAAAUUUGAAUAGCAACAUCAAGUAUGUACAAAUGAAAGAAAUUUGCUGAGGGGGCUCCAGUAAGACGGAUGUGAUAGCUAAGUCCUCAUAAUUCAAUUAAAAAUUUCUAAUUUUACUGAAAUGAAUCAAUUAGUUGUUUAAAUAACAUGGAGUUUUAUAAUUGGGAUAAAUUAAUGAUACUAGUAAGCAUCUUUUGGUGAGAUGUCAUUUUUGAAAUUGCUCAAUCAUUAAUUCGGACAUCAUUGAUGGGGCUUGAGAAUGAGAUUUUAGCCUCUCUUAAAAAUUAUAUAUCACCACUUGAGUUAUUAAUAAAUUUUUUAUAACUCAUUUAAUUUUUUAUAUAAAAAUAAUACAAUAUUUAAAAAAAAAACAUAAUUGAAGUGUUAAUGUAAAUUCUUGACAAACAAAACAAUCUAGUUUUAAUUUGUGGAUAGGGUUUUCAUAUUCAGUUGCGGACCUAAAAAUUUUUUAAAACCCUUUGAGUUUUUUUUUUGUUUUUUAAAUUUUCCUAUAAUAAUAUAUAUAUUUUUUUAUUUUUUUAUAUAUGUCCCCAAUUUAAUUUUUUUUAAGAUUAGUGUUAGAGACUUAUUUUAUAAAUAAUUAAAUUAUUUGUCUUGAAUGAAUUGAAAGGUUAAAAUAUCAUUACCACUUUAACUUACAAAAAUGGUUAUUAUUUGGUCUAAUUGAAAGAAAAAUAUGCAUUAAAAAAUUGCCACUGUUUUUGAAAACUUAGAAAAUGUCAUAUAUUAACAACUAGCAAUAUUUUCAUAAUUUCAUGGUUUAUUUCCUUCACAAUCAUACCUUCGCUUUUUCUUUUCAUUAGAUCAAAUUAUUUAAAUAUGUUACCUUCUCUAUUAAAUGAUUAACAAUGAAUUUCAUAAAUAUUUUUAUAGCACAAUUUUAGUAAUUUAUAAUAUAAGCUUAUUUGUUGUACUGUUGCUGUUUAUUUCAUCAAGUAUAUGUAUUUUAUUAAGAUUUUUAAUGUUGUGUUACUUUGCAUAGCUCGUUAUAUGAAUUUUUUCACUCUUCUUCAUGUACUAACUGUUAUACAAAUUUUAAUGUACUCGCAAGUAUACAAGUCUACUGGAGCAUAGAUUAAGAAUAACAAGGUUGAACCCAUAGGAUUGUUAAUUUUUUAAAAGAAAAAUCUAAUCUAAGCUAAUUAUAACUCUACCCCAGUUGAGAAGAAACUACUGUGAAAAUAUAAACAAAAAAUACAAGAAAAUUAAAAUCCAGAAAAUUAAUACAAAACUUAAAAGAUUGAAGUUACUAGGAUUGUAGAAUUGAACAAUUCAACUUAAUAAUUUUCUAAUUACCAAUCAAUUUCUAAAUCUAGAGUGACAACAAAAAAUCAAUCUAUAUCUAUUUAUAGAUAUAACAAUUAACUCCAAAUAAAAUUAAUCUUAUAUAAAUUCUUUUUCCGCUUAAUAGUGUAGUAUCUAAGCAUCCCAUGUAAAUAAUAUUGAAUAACAAAGAUUCAAAAUUUUUCUAAGCAUUAUGUAUAAAUAAUUUAAUAAAAUAAAAAAAUAAUCACAUGAACCUUAGAGACCUAAGCAUAGGUUUAGUCAAAUAUUAAUUUUAACAAUAAAUAAUGUAUGACAGAAUUGUAAGAAAAAAUAACACAGUGAGAUAACAAUUUAAACAGUAGUUAAUUUAAACAACAAUGUAAACCAACAAUCGAAAACAACAAAUGAAGAAUAGAAGAGUAACCGAAACAGAAUUCAAUAUAUGCAAUUAAAUAGUUAAUCUUACUCAUGCAUGGUUAAGUGUUAAUAUAUAAACACUAAUCCCUAGGCUUAUUUUUCCCAUGUGGGAUAAGCCUCAUUUCCUUUCAAAUUUCCAACUUCAAGGGUGAACUUUGAGAGACAAUUUCUCAUUCACCCAAGCACCAUUUUGAGAAAAUAAGAUUAUACUUUUAAAGAAUCAACGGAGUAGAAUCCAAACCUCAUAAGAUUUUCCACUUUCAUUAAGUGGGACCCACUCAAAAUGUGCCCUCAAAAUAACAUAUAUACAUGCUAUUUUUUCAACAAGAAUUAGUGAAAAGAUUUAAUAAUAUCUAACUAAACAUAUAAAACAAGAACCAUAGGUAUUAAAGCUCAUAUAUAGAGAAUUAAUUAAAAAAGUAAUUUAUUUUAUUGAGCAGUUAUCAUCACUGACCAUAGUAUAAACACCAGAAAUAAUGCAUGACAGAAUUCCCCUAAAAAUAUCCGAUGGAUUCAUUCUUCAAAGAGUGUGGUCAUUGCUAAAUGUACAAGAUGAUAGUUGGUAGUUGUUGUCUAGUAAUAUGUAGAUCCCAAAUUGAAAUUGAUUUAAAAUCUAGGAGGGAUUAUCGCUCCUGCAAAUGUUUUAUUUUAAAAUUUAUCUAUUUAAUCCAAUGACAAAUAAGUUUUUCUCCCAUCCGUUUUAACAGUUCGAACAAAUAUUUUGUUUUCAGUUCAAGAAAUUUUAUCAAUUACGUUAAUAAUUAGUCCUAACAUGAUUAUUUGAUUUUUUUUUAUUUCUUCAGUUCGUAUUGUUUGAACUAGUUUACAUGACGAGUAGUGCAAUGGGUCCAUAUAUUAUAUAUGAAUGGGAAUUUAUCACUAAUAUAUUAUAUAUGUGUCCAUAUAUUAUACUAUUCGUGGUCAAUAGCUGUAGCCAGGAGUGGCUCUCCUUGUUGAUAAACUGAAAUUAGCGCAAACCUUGAGGACAGGCAUGAAAAAAUGGGAACACGAGCAUGAUUUGUGAUGAGAUAUAAUAUAGUUGAACCCAUGCCUUGACUGAUUCAAUAGAAAGGAGGGAAAAAAGAAGGAAAACAGGGGCAAGCAAUAAAGAAGAAGCAAAUUAUAAUCAUGGCUUCUAUAGCUGAUCGGGAAGAAGAGACAAAUAAUUUUUCAUAUGCAAUGGAACUGGCAAGUGCCAUAGUGCUACCUGCAGCUAUGCAAGCAGUGGUAGAGCUUGAUGUGUUUGAGAUCAUAAGCAAAGCCGGUCCUGGUGCUAAGCUUUCGGUUUCGGAAAUUGUGGCUCAAAUUCCCUUAAAAGAUAAUAAUCCUGAAGCUGCAGCCAUGAUGUUAGAUCGGGUGCUGAGGCUUACGUUAUUGACUUAAUUAACGAAUAGACCCUAGUGAAUAGGAAUAUCAAUUAAUUACAAAUGAAAAAAAUUUGCUGAGGAGUCCGAAUUUGAUGUACAUGAUAGCGAAGUCCACAUAACUCAAUUAAUUGUUUAAGUAACUGGGAGUUUUAUAAUUGGGAUAACGUGUAGUUUGAUAUUGUAAGUUACAAUCGUAAAAUAUUUAAUAAAUUUUUGAUGUUGUAAUUUAAACGUUAAGUUGAAUUUAUCACAUACUUAUAUGUAAAAAAAAACCUAUAAUAUAUUUUUGUCUUUUUUGUUAAAAUUAUUUGUUACAUAUUUUUUACUUUUAUUUCAUUUAUAUAUGUGUGUGUGUGUCAAAACACCUCAAUCUGAAACAUGGUCUUAAUUAAUAAAACAUUGUCAUUUUAUUAAUUAAUAAAACACCUCAAUACCUAGCAAGUAGCAAGCCACACAUGAUUUUAUUUUGUAUAUAAAAAUUUGACACUCUUUAAUAUUGUGUUUUUUCGUUUAUGUUUAUUAUGAGCUCGACUUUUUGUUUAUGAAAAUUUGACAUUCUGUAACUUUGGCGGGUUGGUAAGUGUAUAAUGAGCUACACUUAUUUAUUUAUUUGGAAAAAAGACACCUAUUUACAUUUGAGAAAAUAGUCAUAAAGACAUCUAAAUUUUUAAAAAGGGACUCCAAAUCUCCUUUUUAACUAUAAUAUCCUUUGAUUUAGUAAUUAAAAAGUUGACUUAAAUUUUUUUUAAUUAAUACAAAUUUAAUAUAAGUAAUAUAAUCUAUCUAGUACACUAAUAAUAUUAAAUUAUUUUUAACGUUUAAUAUAAUAUUAAAAAUUUAAAUUAUUACAUUUAUUUUAAUAAUACAUUUGCAUUUAUUAUAUAGAUUUUAAAAAUCUCUGUAUUAAAUAUAUUUUGCAAUUAACAGAAUAUAUCCCUAUUAAUAAUAUUAAUAUUAUUUUUUACAUAAUAUUUGAAAUAAUUUUAAUCUUUUAUUCUAAUAUUAUGUUUCUAUAUAUUAUUAAAAAUUACUUUAAUUAUAAUAUAAUUGGUCUAAUAUAUUGUAAAAUAUAAAAAUAUUUUAUAAAUAUUAAAAAUAUUUUCAAAUGUUGAUAUUAUUACAUUUAUUUUAAUGGCAUAUUUCUAUUUAUUAUAAAAUCUUAAGGUCAAUUAUUUUGGUUUUAUAAAGUCAAAAGGUAUUAUGAUAAAAAAGGGUUCUUGGUGUCCGUUAUUGAAAACUCGGGGUCCUUGUAAUCAUUUUCCAAAACCGUGGGGGUGUAGGUGUCCUUUUCCCUAUUUAUUUUUAUAAAAAUUAAGGUUUUUUUUUUUUUUUAAAGCAAGAAAUCUAAUGAAUUAAUUCUUCAAAGAGUGUGAGGAUCAAAAACUUACUCUAUGGUUAUUGCUAAAUAUGAAAUAAGAUAAUUGACAUAGUUGUUAUCUAGUAUUAUAUCGAUCCCAAAUUAAUAGGUUCAAACAAAUAUUUUGUUUCAGUUCAAGAAAUUUUACUAAUUAUAUAUGUUAAGAAUUACUAAUUUACAUGUUGUGUUAAGUUUUUGGACAGAGAAAACUAAGGUAGUAUAUGUUCUUUUAUCUAAAAUCUAGAUGGAUUUGAAUGUAAUUGAAGUCUGAAUGAAUCUGAAUGCAUAUGUCAGAAUAACAUGUUUGUUUUUUAUUUUUUGACAUCUAGUGUAACGGUAAAUUGUUAUCUAUUUUUAUAAACUCAAAAUAUUUUAAAUCCAAUAUUUUUAUACUUAUGAUCUUGAAAGUGUUAUAUAUACCUGAAAUUUUUAAUAGGUAUAUAUUUAUAAUGUUUUCUUAACUAAAUAAGUUCAUGCAAUUGAUUGUUAUUAUUAUUGAAUAACUGUUUUUAGGUUGCCUUUAUUAGUUUAACAACAAUGGUACUUCGUCAAGAGAAUGAGUUACCAUUAUUAUUAAUAGGUCGGCGGCGACCAUUUUUUUUUCAUUUUUAGCUCACUGAUAAUUGACAUGGAAUAACGAUGUUUUAGAUAUAUACGAUAUAUUUUAGAUAAUCACACGUAUUUGUAUAUUUUAAAAUACUUAUCAUAAUGUCAAAUAUUUUUAUAUUAUUAUAAAUUGUUGAAAAAUUAUUUUAGAACAAUAUAAAAAUAUCUGUAUACAUGGUAGUCAAACAACAAUUUGAGCAUUGCUAUUAUUUUCCGAAAAUGUAGCUAAGUUUUCUGAAUGAAGAGUGUCCCUUGGAUUCGGUUGGAUUUUAUGCCGCACGACAGAAUUGCUGUGGCCGGAGGGUAAUGUUGUCGCAGUGGGCAAACAAUAAUUGACAUUUCACAUUCGGCUAUUUAUGAUGUAGGCCCAACUAUGUGUGUCCAACUUUGGAGGCUAUUAGGUAUAUGAUAUAUCCAAUUAAUAAGCUCCGCUUAUUUAUUUAUUUUUAUAAAAAUUCAGAUUUUUUUCCCCUAAAAAUAUCCGAUCGAUUCAUUCUUCAAAGAGUGUGCUUACUGCUAAAUAUACAAGAUGAUAGUUGGCAGUUAUUGUCUAGUAAUAUGUAGAUCCCAGAUUGAAUUUGAUUUAAAAUCCAGGAGCAUCGUUCCCGCAAAUGUUUCAUUUUAAAUUUUCUUUGUUUAAUCCAAUGGCAAAUAAAUUUUUCUCGCAUCCGUAUUAAUGGUUCGAACAAAUAAUUUUGUUUUCAGUUCAAGAAAUUUUAUCAAUUUUGUUAAUAAUUAGUACUCACAUAAUUAUUUACUUAUUUUUUUUUAUUUCUUCAAUUCUUAUUGUUUGAAUUAGUUUACAUGAUGAGUAGUGCAAUGUGUCCAUAUAUUAUUUAUGAAUGGUAAUUUAUCACUAAUACAGUGACAUUUCAUCCCGGAGUGGCUGUCCUUGUUGAUAAAUUGAAAUUAGCGCAAACCUUGAGGACAGGCAUGAAAAAAUGAGAACACGAGCAUGAUUGGUGAUGAGAUAUAAUAUAGAUGAACCCCUGCCUUGACUGAUUCAAUACAAAGGGAGGAAAAAAGAAGGAAAACAGGAGCAACCAAUUAAGAAAGAAGCAAAUUUAUAAUCAUGGCUUCUACAGCAGAUCAUGAAGAAGAGACAAAUAAUUUUUCAUAUGCAAUGGAACUGGCAAGUGCCAUAGUGCUACCUGCAGCUAUGCAAGCAGCGGUAGAGCUUGAUGUGUUUGAGAUCAUAAGCAAAGCUGGUCCCGGUGCUAAGCUUUUGGUUUCGGAAAUUGUGGCUCAAAUUCCCUUAAAAGAUAAUAAUCCUGAAGCUGCAGCCAUGACGUUGGAUCGGGUGCUGAGGCUGCUUGUCAGCUACAAUGCUCUUCAUUGCUCUUUUGUUGAUGGACAAAGGCUCUACUCUCUUGCUCCUGUUUCAGCAUACUUUGUUCGCAAUAAUCAAAACGGCGCGUCGUUGCGUCCCUAUAUGGCCUGGUGUCUCGACAAGGUCCUCAUGGAUUGCUGGUAUAUAGAAUUACUUUAUCUCCUUUCUUUCCUUUGCUAAUUUUGAUAAAUUAAGGACAAUUAUCAAAACCUUCUAGUUGUAUAUAUCCAAAAAUUAAUCAUUUGCAUCACAUGUUUUGAACCCAUCAAAAUCCGUCAGCUACUAAAAAGACAGUUAUCUUCAAUUAUUUUACUUUUGUUGUGGUAAAAAACAAAAAAAGUUUAUAGUCCAAGUGUUUUUGAAAUAUGAAAGUAGAAAGGAUUGAUUGUAACAAAUAAUUAAUAAAGUAUUCUUUAUCUUGGUUAAUUAUGCCGUCUAAUUUUACAAACUAAGCUUCUAAAAUUGUUACUAACUGUGUUUGGAUUUUGGAAAAUUCAGGUUUCGGUUGAAAGAGCAAAUUCUUGAAGGAGGAAUUGCGUUUAAUAAAGUGCACGGAAUGCAUAAGUACGAUUACUUGGGCGUUGACUCAAGAUUCAAUGAUGCUUACAACAAUGGAAUGUUAAGCCACACUUCUGUUGUCAUGGAGAAGAUCCUAGAAUCAUACAAAGGCUUUGAGCAUGUUAAGCAGCUUGUUGAUGUUGGCGGCGGCUUAGGAGCUGCUCUUAACAUGAUAAUUUCCAAAUACCCUCAUAUUAAGGGUAUUAAUUAUGAUUUACCAUAUGUUAUUCAAAAUGCCCCAUUUUAUCCUGGUAUGUUACUUACAAAAUUUAUACAAUAUUUUCGUUAAUGAUUCAUUGAUGGGAUACACGAUAGCUAACAAAAAUUAUUAUUAUUAUUUUUAAAUUUCAGGCAUUGAACAUGUAGGUGGAGACUUGUUUGAAAGUGUUCCUGAGGCAGAUACCAUUUUCAUAAAGGUUAUAUGUGUGUAUUAUUUGAAAUCAUCGUUAUAAGGAAAAAUCGAUAUAGGGUGAAUCACUAUUUUCCCCCCUAAUAUUUUGUAGGUUUACUUUGACCCGUUACUCAUUUGGUAUUAGAACUUUGACAAAAACACUUAAGGAAAAGUCAAAAUAUGUUGAAAAGUGUUGGGGGGCAACUGUCUCUCUUUCUUUUUCUCUAGUUGUAAAGGAGUGGCCAAAGCCCAAAUUGAUUAUUUAAAAACCACUGGACUAGCUCCUGAUGCAAAGUGUCAAUCUUUCCGGAUUAUACGUUUUGUUCAAUGCCAUAAAUUGAUCAUAGAUAUUCAUAUUAAUAGAUCUAAUGAGAAUUAACGUAAAUAUUAAACUUUUGCAGUGGGUCCUUAAUGCUUUUGAUGAUGAGCAGUCCUUGAAAUUGUUGAAAAAUUGUUACAAAGCUCUUCCGGAUGGUGGGAAGUUGCUUAAUGUUAAUGGAACAAUUCCAGAAGUGCCUGAGAAUAGCGCGACUUCAAGGGAGAUCUCCCACUUGGAUAUAAUUUGUUUAAUCCAAGUUCCUCAUGGAAGAGAGCGGACCAAACAAGAAUACAGUGACUUAGCAAUCAAAGCUGGAUUUAAAGGCGUCAACUACGAAUAUGGUGCAUGCAAUUUAUAUGUUAUGGAAUUCCUCAAAUAAUAAAUUGCUUUACUUGUAUUAGGAAAGGUCUUCUCAACUCUCUUUGGGGAGUUACCAAUUUCUGGUUUGUGUUAAUUUUUCUUCUCGCCUUAGCUUUUCUCUUAUGUACUCUUUUUCAUCCUUUAAGCAUCUGUCUUUUUAAGGGAGAUUGACUGCCUUAUAAGGUAGCUCCUAUGUAAUAUUUUCCAUUUUAAUUUUUACUGUUGUAGCAUGUGAUACUUAGUUUUUUAUCGAGGAAAAAAAUAGUGUAUUCAUCUGACUUUGUUUUUUUUUUUUUUUUUCCUUUUUCUACUUAUUGCAAAGUUAUGUUGUGCAAAAACCAGCAAUAUAUAAUUAAUAAUUUAAAGUAAUAAAGUUUGAUUUUUGAACGUAGUAAAAUACACCGUAACUGAAUCGAACAAUGCCUGAAAAAUAUAUUGAAAAUGGAUUAUAGAGAUAUAAAUUUCUAUUAUAAUUAUAAUUUAGUUUUUUAUUUUUAAGUUAACUUAGAGAAAAUAUAUUUUAUUUUCAUUAUAAUUGUGAUUUAAUUUUUCUUUUUGAAUUAAUUUAGAGAAGUAGGUUUCCUCUAUUAUAAAUAGAGAGCUCUUGUGGUUGUUUUAAGAACUUUUUUCUAUUAUAAAUAGAGAGUUUUUGUGAUUAUUUUAAGAACUUUUUCCAAACUCAAUUAUUCUAUAAAUUUUUAUUCUAAUUUUUUUUUUCUAUCUUCUUUACAAUUCCUCGUCGGCUAAUAUAGGUCAAAGGGGUUAAAAAAAAGUGCAAGCCUUUUGAAACAAGUCACAGAUGACAGACCCAAUCAGAACUAUAAGUAAAUAUAAUAGUUUGCACUGGCAAUAGGAUUUCCGGCAUUUCGUCUAAGGCACAAUUGACACAACGCUUGAUUGACCAAAACAAAUAGUUGAUUAUUGUAAUUAUUGUGAAUAUAGUCUUUUGUUUUACAACGCGUUAAAUAUGUUUAUAUAUUUUGUAAAAGUCAAGCAAUGAGAUGUAGGGAACGAUUAUUGUUUUCACCAUAUCAAUUAUCUCAAAGAUUAUCUCAAAUAUUUUUCAUGUUCUGUCUGCCGGUACUCUGCCUUCUAGAGGUGCACAGUGAUGGGUGAAAAGAGGAAAAUGAAAAAAAGAUAAGAAAAAAUUUAUAAGGUCCUUUAAUGCGGGGUCGUUUUGGUUCGAUAUGUGUUGAAAAUUUUUUCGGGUGCAAGCUGUCGCUAUCACCGACUUCAAAAACCUUGUCUUGUAAUAUUAAUAUAGGCCCCGAGCCCCCCACCACUUUGCCUCUGUGAUUAAGAACCCCAUUCUUUGUCUUUUAGCAAACCCACCGCCGCUUUAUAAGUCAAUAAUUUUGUUUUUUUUUUUUUUUUUUUUUUGUCAACUCAAUUGAAGGCUUUGCCCACUUGUAGAAAAUCCCAUAAUGGGUUCCACUAGGUUACAGCAGUGGCACAUAUAAUUUCUUUUUGUCUUCUGUGAUAAAAUUUCAUAUAAUCUCUUCUAUUUAUUUUUAUUUAAUAUUUAUCCUAUAAGUAUUAAGUUAAUUUCUACCUACACUUACAGCUACAUUUCGGUUAGCUCUUUAUACUAUUUUAUAUUUACAGAUUUUUUAUUCAAUAUUGCACAUGUAUCACAAUACCCCCUCUUUAUUAUUUUGAAGUUAAAUAAUUAACAUGUUUAAUUUAAAACCUUACACUCCUUUUUAAUUAUAAUCUUUUUAAAUAUCGGGUAUUUUUUACAUUUGCUAUCAAAUUUCAUUUAACACUUUACACUCUUUUUAUUUCGAAUUUUUUUAUAGAUAUUAAUUUACAUUAUGGUAGUGCACUGUGUCCAUAUAUUAUUUAUGAAUGGUAAUUUAUCACUAAUACAGUGACAUUUCAUCCAGGAGUGGCUCUCCUUGUUGAUAAAUUGAAAUUAGCGCAAACCUUGAGGACAGGCAUGAAAAAAUGAGAACACGAGCAUGAUUUGUGAUGAGAUUUAAUAUAGUUGAAUCCAUGCCUCGACUGAUUCAAUAGAAAGGAGGGAAAAAAGAAGGAAAACAGAAGCAAGCAAUUAAGAAAGAAGCAAAUUAUAAUCAUGGCUUCUAUAGCUGAUCAGGAAGAAGAGGCAAAUAAUUUUUCAUAUGCAAUGGAACUGGCAAGUGCCAUAGUGCUACCUGCAGCUAUGCAAGCAGUGGUAGAGCUUGAUGUGUUUGAGAUCAUAACCAAAGCUGGUCCCGGUGCUAAGCUUUCAGUUUCGGAAAUUGUGGCUCAAAUUCCCUUAAAAGAUAAUAAUCCUGAAGCUGCAGCCAUGAUGUUAGAUCGGGUGCUGAGGCUUCUUGUCAGCUACAAUGCUCUUCAUUGCUCUUUUGUUGAUGGACAAAGGCUCUACUCUCUUGCUCCUGUUUCUAAAUACUUUGUUCGCAAUAAUCAAAACGGUGCGUCGUUGCGUCCCUACAUGGCCUUGUCUCUCGACAAGGUCCUCAUGGAUGGCUGGUAUACAGAAUUACUUUUUCUCUUUUCUUUUGUUUGCUAAUAUUGGUAAAUUAAGGAAAAUUAUCAAAACCUUCUAGUUGUCUAUAUAAAAAAAAUUAAUCAUUUGCAUCACAUAUUUUGAACCCAUCAAGAUCCAUCAGCUUCUACAAGGAUAGUUAUCUUCAAUUAUUUUACUUUUGUUGUGGUAAAAGACCAAAAAAGUUUAAAGUCCAAGUGUUUGUGAAAUAUGAAAGAGAAAAGAUUGAUUGUAACAAACAAUUAAUAAAGUAUUCUUUAUCUUGGUUAAUUAUGCGGUCUAAUUUUACAAACUAAGCUUCUAAAAUUUUUACUAACUGUGUUUGGAUUUUGAAAAAUUCAGGUUUCGGUUGAAAGGGCAAAUUCUUGAAGGAGGAAUUGCGUUUAAUAAAGCGCACGGAAUGCAUAUCUACGAUUACUUAGGCGUUGACUCAAGUUUCAAUGAUGUUUUCAGUAAUGGAAUGUUAAGCCACACUUCUAUUGUCAUGGAGAAGGUCCUAGAAUCAUACAAAGGCUUUGAGCAUGUUAAGAAGCUUGUUGAUGUUGGCGGCGGCUUAGGAGCUACUCUUAACAUGAUAAUUUCCAAAUACCCUCAUAUUAAGGGUAUUAAUUAUGAUUUACUUUAUGUUAUUAAAAAUGCCCCAUCUUAUCCUGGUAUGUUAUUUAAAAAAUUUGUAUAGUAUUUUUGUUAAUAAUUCAUUGAUGGCAUACACGUUAGCUAAUAAAUUUUUUUCUUUUUUUAAAUUUCAGGCAUUGACCAUGUAGGUGGAGACUUGUUUGAAAGUGUUCCUAAGGCAGAUACCAUUUUCAUGAAGGUUAUAUGUGUGUGUUAUUUGAACUCAUUGUCAUAAGGAAAAAUUAAUAUAGGGUGACUGACGCUUUUUCCCAUAAUAUUUUGUAGUUUUAUCUGAUCCCGUUAUUCCUUUGGUAUUAGAACUUUUACAAAAACACUUAAAGGGGAUACCAAAAUAUUAUGAAAUCUGUAAAAAAAAAAAAUGGUAAAACUCUCUCUCUCUUUCUUUUUCUCUAGUUGCAAAGGGGUGGCCAAAGCCCAAAUUGAUUAUUUAAAAACCACCGGACUAGCUCCUACAAAGUGUCAAUCUUUCUGGAUUAUAUACGUAUGUUUUGUUCAAUAACAUAAAUUGAUCAUAGAUAUUCAGAUUAAUAGAUCUAAUGAGAAUUAACAUGAAUAUUAUACUUUUGCAGUGGGUCCUUAAUGGUUUUGAUGAUGAGCAGUCCUUGAAAUUGUUGAAAAAUUGUUACAAAGCUCUUCCGGAUGGUGGGAAGUUGCUUAAUGUUAAUGCAGCAUUUCCAGAAGUGCCUGAGAAUAGCGCGACUUCAAGGGAGAUCUCCCUCUUGGAUACAAUUUGUUUAAUCCAAGUUCCUCAUGGAAGAGAGCGGACCAAACAAGAAUACAGUGACUUAGCAAUCAAAGCUGGAUUUAAAGGCGUCAACUACGAAUAUGGUGCAUGCAAUUUAUAUGUUAUGGAAUUCCUCAAAUAAUAAAUUGCUUUAUUUGUAUUAGGAAAGGUCUUCUCAACUCUGUUUGGGGAGUCACCAAUUUCUGGUUUGUGUUACUUAAUUUUUCUUCUCGUUUGGCCUUAGCGCUUCUCUUGUGUACUCUUUUUCAUUCUAUGAACAUUUGUUUCUUUAAAGGAGAUUGACUGCUUUAACAUAGCUCUUAUGUACUCUUCUCCAUUUUAAUUUUUAUGGAGGAAAAAAAUAGUGUAUUCAUCUUACUUUGUUAUUUUUUUUUUCUUUUCCUGGUUAUUUCAAAGUUAUGUUGUGCAAAAACCAGCAAUAUAUAAUUAAUAAUUUAAAGCAAUAAAGUUUGAUUUUUGAACGUAAUAAAAUACACAGUAAAUGAAUCAAAUGAAGUCUGAAAAUAUAUUGAAAAUGGAUUAUAGAGAUAUUAAUUUUUCAUUAAACAACUACUGAGAGCUAAUAUAGGUCAAAGGGGUUAAAAAAAAAAAAAAGAAUACAAGUCUUUUGAAACAAGUCACAGAUGACAGACACAAUCAGAACUAGAAGGAAAUAUAAUAGUUUGCACUGGCAAAAUGAUUUCCAGCAUUUCGUCUAAGGCACAAUUAACAACGCUUGAUUGACCAAAACAAAUAGUCGAUUAUUGUAACUAUUGUGAAUAUAGUUCUUUCUUUUACAACACGGUAAAUAUCUUUAUAUAUUUUGUAAAAGUCAAGCAAUGAGAUGAAGGGAACGAUUAUUGUUUUGGACCUGUCUAUGGUACAGAUUCUGUAACAAACAUCUCCCGUCAUCCCACCAUCCGAUUUUCUAUUGUUCAGUUUCUCACUCCACAUCCAACCACAUCCAACGGCUGAUGCUGCAGUCUGUACCUUACAGAUUCUGUAAGCUAGUCGAGUCCUAUUGUUUUCACCAAAUUCAAGUAUCUCAAAGAUUAUCUCAAAUAUUUUUCAUGUUCUGUCUGCCUUCUAGAGGUGCACAGUGAUGAGUGAAAAGAGGAAAACGAAAAAGAUUAAAAAAAAAUUUAUAAGUUCCUUUAAUGAGGGGUCGUUUUUUGUUAGAUAUGUGUUGAAAAGUUUUUAGGGUGCAAACUGUCGCUACCUCCGAAUUCUCAAAAAUCUUUGACUUGUGAUAUUAAUAUAGGCCACAACUGCUCUGCCUUUGUGAUAAGGAACCUCAUUGUAAAGGUGCACAGUGAUGGGUCAAAAGAGGGAAAAAAAUAAACAAAAAAAUUUAUAAGUUCCUUUAAUGUGAGGUUGUUUUGGUGGAGAAAAUUAUGAUGCAAUAGUGAUAACGUGUUAUUAUUGUAUUCAGUUAUUAAAUUUUAAUAAAUUAAUUUAUUUAAGUAGAUUCAACGAUUAAAUGUAACGGUGGCAUGAUACCACCGUUAAACUGUAGCUGGACCUUGUUUUGGCGAAAAUUUUUUAGGGCGCAAAUUGUCGCUAUGUCCGAUUUCAAAAAUUUUUGACUUAUAAUAUUAAUAUAGGCCCCAACCACUUGGUCUCUGUGAUUAAGAACCGCAUUCUUUGUCUUUUAGCUAACCCACCGCUGCUAUAACGUCAUUGAUUUUGUUUAUUUUUUUGUGUCAACUCAAUUGAAAGCUUUGCCAACUUUUAGCAAAAAUAUAAUUUAUACUGUUUUUUGAAUCUAGCCGAAGCAACCAAUACAGAAAGAAGGCAGUCAGGCAGGUAAUAGUCGCGAACUAAAGUCAGUCCUUCCUUCGUGAGUCUCUUUUUCGAAAAUUGUGACUAAUUUUAGUUUACACCAGCUGGGAAUUCGUUGAAACAAAUUCCAGUCAUGCCUGGUGUGUACUUAAUAUAUGGGUGAAGACAAUUUGGGAGCUUGGAACUCUCCAAUGAGACAAGAAAAUAUGUUAGUUAGCUAGGCUUCUGAAAUUUGAAUAGGAACAACAAGUAUGUACAUAUGAAACAAAUUUGCGGAGGCCCUGAGGGGGCUCCACUAAGACGUACUUGAUAGCUAAGUCCUCAUAAUUCAAUUUAAUAACUUCUAAUUUAUUGAAAUGAAUCAAUUAAUUGUUUAAGUUGGAGUUUUAUAAUUGGGAUUAAUUAACAAUACGAGCAAGCACCUUUUGGUGAGAUGCCACUUUUGAAAUUGCUCGAACACAAUAAAUUUGGACAUGAUUGAUGGGGCCCGGGAAUGAGAUUUUGACAUCUCUUUAAAAAUUAUAUUUAUAAGAAAUUAUAUUUACCACUUGAGUUAUAAAUAAAUUUUUAAUAACUCAUUUUAUUUUUUAUAUAAAAUUAAUACGUUAAAAAAACACAUGAUUGAAGUGUUAACGUACAUUUUUGACAAACAAAACAAUCCAGUAUUAAUUUGUAGCUAGAUCAAUUGAGCACCUAAAAAAUUUUAUUAAUACCCCUUGAGUGUUUUUUUUUUCUGUUUUUUUUAAGUUUUCUUACAAUAAUAUAAUUUUUAUUUUAUUUUUAUAUAUGUCCCCGAUUCAGUCCUUUUCUAAAAUUAGUUUUAGAGACUUAUUUAAUAAAUAGUCAAAUUAUUUUUGUAUUGAAUAAAUUGAAAGGUUAAAAUAUCAUUACUGCUUUAACUUACAAAAAAGUUAUUAUGCGGUCUAAUUAAAAGAAAAGUAUGUGUUAAAAACUGUCACUAGUAUUGAGAACUUACAAAAAUGACAUAUGGUAACAACUAGCAAUAUUUUCAUAAUUUCAUGAUUUAUUUCCUUGACAAUCAUACCUUCUCUUUUAUUUUUCAUUAUAUCAAAUUAUUUAAAUAUGUCACUGUUAGAGUGCAAUUUAUGCACUAGUUUUGCAUUAUUUACUUCCCUUAAUAUCAAUGUUUUGCACUUAAUAAUAGUGAUUUACUUGUGUUUUACUUUUGUAGGUGCAAUUCUAUUGAUUGAUGAUAAAAUUGAGCUAUAAGAUGAUGUUUAAGGAUGAUUGUUCUCUUGGAGAAAUUAUGAGCGUCAGAAGAACUUUGUUGAAAAGGCGUGGGCGCGUGCUGUCAACUGCGGACCUGCAGUUUUUAGUUUAACGUGUUUUGCAUUUUUGGUUAUUUUUGUAAUUACGAAUUUAAUAUUUCAGAUAUUAGGAUUUUAUUUUAAAUAGAAUUCUAAAAGAGAAGAGAGAGAGAGUAUUUAAGGGAGGAAUCUAUUGUGAAAAAAGGGGAUUUUUUUGGAUUGGAGAAAAAGAAAGAAAACCCUAGAUCUAAUUUUUCUCUUCUCUCUAUGAAGAACUAAACUUAUUUUUCUGGUUGAAGGAUAACGAAGCUUUGAUUCAUCACUACUGUGAGAUCUUUCUUGUGCUUUAAUUGUUUUAUUACUUUUUGGGUAUUUGUUUAUUCUCUGUAUUAUUUUCAUGAUUAUGUUUGUUAAUUAGGUAAUUGGCCAUUAUUUAAUUAUCAACUUAAUCUAUUGUCAAUUAAAGGAUUCAUCGUAUGAAGAAUUUAAUGUUUGUGACAAAUAACAUAGCAGAGAGUUGUGUUGUGAGAAUAAACAAUCUAAUUUAAAUGAAUCAUCAUAUGUGUUGAUUAGGAUUUGGGUCUCUCUGAUUUUUCAGGCUGUCAAUUGAUUAAAUCCUAUGAUCGUAUCUAGGGUUGUCUAUUGAUUAGGGAAAUAACCAACGGUCGUACCUUGGUUAUCGACUAGUUAAGGAGAGAUUGGCUAUUAGAGGGUCUCAAUAGCUAUAACCGGUCUAUUAAUAAGUAAUAAUAAUCUAUAUUUGAAUCAAUGAUCAGUAGUCGAAUCAAGCUGAGUUAAUUCCUUCAACCAGAGCUUUCUCCAAUUUGAAUUACAACUUUAAUUUGCAUUCUUGUUAUUUUAAUUUGAUUUUUAUUAUUGUCAACAAAACCCCCAUUUUAUGUUUUACGUUUUAAAAGGAUUUAAAUAAUUACCGAUCUCUGUGGACACGACCCUGCUCAAUCACUAUACACAAUUUAUUUAGAGUAGGAAUUUAUUUUUGUUGGCUUCGACACCCAUCAAAUUUUGGCGUCGUUGCCGGGGAUUGGUGUCAUUUAUUUAAUCAUUUUUACGUUUUACUUGGUGUAUGGUUCGUUCUUCUCGUACAGGUACACUUUCGUUUGAUCCUGAAAUUGAGAAGACAGCUGGCCAGCUGAGACAGCAGACGAAGCGAGCUAAGCAACGAUCCUCGUUGCCUUUGCUUUCUGAAAUAGAUACAGUGCCUGAUUUAGUUGAAUCAUCUAGCGAUUCAGAAGAACAAGUGAUGGAUAGACCUGCACCUGUAGAAAGAACUCUUAGAGAGUUAGCUGAACCAGACUUGAAUCAACAACCACUCUGCAUUCAAUAUGUAGACUUGGAGGUAAAUUUUGAAUUAAAGUCUGGUCUUAUUCAUUUAUUACCCAAGUUUCAUGGUUUUGCAGGUGAAGAUCCUCAUAAACAUCUUAAGGAGUUUCAUGUUGUGUGUUCAAGUAUGAGACCACAAGGCGUGACUGAAGAGCAGAUUAAGCUGCGUGCUUUUUCGUUCUCUGUAGAUGGGCUAGCUAAAGACUGGUUGUAUUACUUGCCUCCUGGAUCGAUUACAAUGUGGAAUGAUUUGAAGAAGCAGUUCCUCGAGAAGUACUUUCCUGCUUCAAGAGCUGCCAACAUCAGAAAAGACAUUUGUGGGAUUAGACAACUUCCUGGGGAGACUUUGUAUGAGUAUUGGGAGCGAUUCAAACAAUUGUGUGCCAGCUGUCCUCAGCAUCAGAUUUCUGAUCAACUUCUUAUUCAAUAUUUUUACGAAGGACUAUCAUUGAUGGAUAGAAGUAUGAUAGAUGUUGCUAGUGGAGGCGUGUUGGUGAACAAGACUCCUACUCAAGCAAGGGAGUUGAUAUCAAAUAUGGCUGCCAACGCACAACAAUUUGGCAGCAGGCAAGAUCCCACUUCAAGGAAGGUGAAUGAGGUAAAUAUUUCUUCUAUUGAACAACGUUUAGAUAAACUCACUUCUCUUGUGGAAAAGUUUGUUGUAGGUAAUGUGCAACAGGUGAAGACUUGUGGUAUUUGUUACAAUAUGGGUCAUUCAACUGAUAUGUGUCCUACACUUCAAGAAGAACCCGUUGAACAAGCCAAUGCAGUUGGAGGAUUUCCAGGCAUGCCUCAGAGGAGGUAUGAUCCUUAUGCACAAACAUACAAUCCAGGAUGGAAGGAUCAUCCCAACUUCAGCUAUGGAGUUAGGCCGUCAGGAUUCCCACAACAGUAUCCACUAAGACAACCAGCACCUCCACAGUCAACCUCCAAGUCAUGUAUAUCUCUUGAAGAAAUUGUUAAAUCGCUUGCGACUAACACUCAACAAUUUCAGCAGGCAACUACAGCAAGCAUUCAGAACUUGGAGAACCAAAUGAGUCAAUUGGCGACUACAGUGAGCCGUCUGGAGUCUCAAGUAUUAGGGAGAUUGCCUUCACAAUCUGAGGUGAAUCCAAAGCAAAACGUUAGUGCUGUCAUCCUUAGAAGUGGGAAGGAGUUGCAAGAGCCUAGUAAGAAAGUGACAGAGCAUGUAGAAGAUGAGCUUGAGAAGAAUGAAUUGAUGCCUCAAUCUCAAGAUGCACAACCCACCGGAGCGAAACCCCUACCUAUUGUGAUACCUCCUCCUUUUCCAAGCCGGUUUGCAAAAUCCAAGAAGGAGGAACAAGAGAAAGACAUCCUUGAGACAUUUCGCAAGGUUGAGGUAAAUAUUCCUUUAUUAGAUGCUAUAAAACAAAUACCUCGAUAUGCUAAAGUCCUUAAGGAACUAUGCACCUCUAAGAGAAAAUUAAGAGGAGAUGAAAAAGUUCAUAUGGAGGAGAAUGUUUCAGCAGUUCUGCAAAAGAAACUACCUCCUAAGUGCAAGGAUCCAUGUAUGUUUACUAUCCCUUGCAAAAUUGGUAAUGUCAAAGUUGAAAAGGCUAUGUUAGAUCUAGGAGCUUCUAUUAAUGUUAUGCCUCGUUCCAUUUAUUCAUCUUUGAAUGUUGGUCCAUUAAAAGAAACUGGCGUGAUAAUUCAACUAGCUGAUAGGUCUAAUGCAUAUCCUGAUGGGGUAUUAGAAGAUGUCCUAGUACAAGUUAAUGAGUUGGUUUUUCCUGCUGAUUUUUAUGUACUUGAUAUGGAAGAGGAUAACUUCUCUAAUUCUGUCCCAAUUUUGCUAGGAAGACCUUUUCUUAAGACUGCUAGGACUAAAAUGGAUGUACAUAAAGGGACUCUCACUAUGGAGUUUGAUGGAGAGGUUAUAGAAUUCAAUAUGAAUGAUGCCAUGAAAUAUCCUAGUGAGGAACAUUCGGUAUUUUCUGUGGAUGUUAUUAACCCUAUAGUGCAGGAAGUUUUUUACAAGGAAAAAGCGAAGACAUUUCAUGAUAGAAUGAUUUUGAGAAAGGAGUUCUCGAUUGGUCAAAAAGUUCUUCUUUUUCAUUCUAAGCUUAAACUUUUUCCGGGUAAAUUACGUUCUUGCUGGGUCGGACCUUUUAUUGUUACUAAUGUUUUUCCUCAUGGUGCAGUUGAGAUUCAAAGUCCGACCUCUGACAGAGUUCUUAAGGUUAAUGGUCAUCGCUUAAAACCUUUUUAUGAAGGUUUUUCGGUGAAUAUUGUGGAGGAUGUGGCUCUCGAGAGUCCCAAUUAUGGAGAUUGAUGCAUAAAUGUGUCUAGCCAAAGACAUAAAACAAAGGCGCUUUUUGGGAGGCAACCCAAAAGAUUUAUUUAUUUUGAUUUUAGUUAUAUCUUUUAUUUUUAAUUUUGAUUCAGAUUUUUUUUUUUAAUAAUGUUUUUGCUUAUUUUGGCCAGAAGAAAAUUUUCGAUAAGGCGUGCCCACGUCUUAACUAAUAAGUACUUCUGUGAUUUUUAAAGUAAAAUAGGUUUAAGGCGUACCCACGUGCUUAUUAGAAAAGUACUUCUGAAAUUUUUAGUGUCUCAAAGUGAUUCAUCACAAAAAAAAAACUUUUUAUUUAUUUAUUUAUUUAUUUUUUCCUUCCUUCUUUUCUUUCUUUUAUAUAUAUAUUUUUUUAUUUAUUUUAAAAAAACGAAAAAAAAACAAAAAUCACAAAUCACUGUUCACAAAUCCCUAAUUCAAAAAAAAAAAAAAAUUCAUUGUUGAUUAUCUUUUUCACCCGCAGCAAUCAGCAGCAGCAACCGUGCGAAAUCAACAGCAACCGUGCGAAAUCAGCAGCAGCCGCGCGCCCCGCAACGCAGAUCCUCAGCUCUAGCCCGCGCGCACAGCGCAAAUCAAUCCAGCCGAGUAGCCGCACCAGCCCGCAACGCAAGCCCCACCAGCGCGCAACGCAGACCCGCAACGCGAACCAGCUCUCGAGCGCAACACAGCAGUGCGUAGAUCCAGCCCUGCAACGCAGCACGAACCAGCAACGCGAACCAGCUCUCGCGCGCAACAAAGCAGUGCGUAGAUCCAGCCCCGCAACACAGCACGAACCAGCAGCGCGAACCAGCUCUCGCGUGCAACACAGCCACGCAGCAAGCUCCAACCGAGCAGCAGCCGCAGCACACACCACCGCAACGCAGCAACGCAACGCAACUAGCCUACGCCCUGUAUUUCAGCCGGGUAAAUCGAAAUCCGUGAGUGCAAUUAUUGUAACAAUGCCGAAGAGGAAAGCAUCUUCUUCCAAGUCAUCAAAAAAGACACCCGUCGCAAAGAAAUCUAAGAUUGCCGCUCCCACUACGGUUCCAUGGAACACAAUUUCAGAUUCACGCCAAGCCGUGAGACAAAGAUCGAAGCAUGGAAAAGGCAUGAGUGUUUUGCCACUUGCGGAAUCCAAUCUCGAAGGGUGCCUCGCGUUCGUGAUUCAACAAGAGAAAGAGAGGUACAAAGAUAUUUCCACGCGCAAAAUACUUCCAGCUAAGUAUAUUCAUUACCCGACUCUUGAAAAAUUGAAUGUUAAGGAUAAUUUUGAUUCUUUGAUAGAUAAGAUUGGGUUGCGUAAAUUUGUUGAUGUUGAUUGUUUGGGUUAUGUUGAGUUGAUUAGGGAGUUUUAUGCUACUUUUCAAUUUAAUAUGCCGAAUGAUUUUACUUUGCAUACCCCGAAUGUCAUAAAGUUUAGGUUAAUGGGACAAAAUUUUUCACACUCUAUCACGGAUUUUAACCUAGCUUUAGGAUUCAUUGAUGAUGAUUAUUCUUCUAGUGAUGCAUAUUUAGGAACAACUUGUGACUUUAGCGAAAAUUUUGAGCCUUAUGGUCUUUGGCGUAAUUUAUCUGUUGAUCACAAUCCUGUUUUGAAAUGUGUGCAUCGAUUAUUAGCAUAUAAUUUUUUAGGCAAGAAAGAUCACUCAGGAGUUUUCUCUAAAACUGAAUUUUAUUUUAUCUGGUGCAUGUUAAAUGAUGUGAGGCCUAAUUUAGGUUUUUGGUUAGCGGAUCAAUUUCAAAGUGUGCUUAAACGGUAUAAGACUUUAUUUCUUGGUCCAUACAUUACUCUGUUAGCUAUAAACCUAUGUGUGCUUGAUCCCGACAAUAAUGAUUUGCAUCCUGCUUGCAAAAAGGAAUUUUUGGAUAUGUUUGUGUUUGAAAGAACAGGUGUGGUCGAAUUCAAGGAGGGGAGAUUUCAGUUUACUGAACCAGGACCCACUCAACUUCCGAAGAAGCUUUAUGCUAGGAGUGGUGCUACCUCUGAUGACGAGUUUGACGACGACACUGCUGCCCCGCCAACUAUUCCUUCUACAUCCGCACCACCUUUGAGCAUUCAGUUAGAGAAAAUGGAGCACAAGCUAAACAAGAUGGAGCAGAAUUUGGCCGCAUACUUCGAGAGUGUGGGAUUUACCCCACCAUUUCCGCCAAGCCCAUAGACGUUAUGUGGAUCAAAGCUCACAAUUUAGGGAAGUUUCUUUUUGCCCUUAAUUUUUUAUCCUUACGCUUUAAUUUUUAUGUGAGCUUUGAUUAUCUUACAUUGGGGACAAUGUAAGUUCUUGGUGUGGGGGAGAGAUUUUUACAUUAUUGAUGCCUGAAAUUAUUAUUUUCACUCUACUCAUCCUUAAAUGAUUUUGGAGUUAGUAUGCUUCAUAUAUUAUUAAUUCUCUUUUCUUUUCUCUCUCACUACUCUUUUUCCAUCUAUCUCAAAUUAUUUACAUCUAUUUUUUUCUAUCAUACUCUUUCAUCACUCACAUUUAUCUUUCAUUUUUUUUACUACAUACAUCUUUCUCGCUUAUUAUUAUUUUUUUACCUUUCCUUUUAUAUCUCACUCAUACCUUCUUCUCAUUCUACACCACUAUUGAUGGUUGAUUCAUUUGAAGAGUGUACAUGAUUUGAUGGCAAAUUUACCAACUUUGUGAGGAUUUGAGCCUAUGAGCAACCACUUUGCUCUAAUAUUUUUGUUGUGUGAAUAUCAAUCUUAGUUUGUUUAUUCUAGAACUUGCUUUGUUAUGCAUGUUGAAGCCGCAUUACGGGAUUUUAUGCAUUAAAAUGAUAAGGGCAAACCCUUUUCCAUUUUUCUAUUCUCGCAUUUUUUUUUCUCUAUCCGAAGACCUUUAUUUGCUAUCUUUGUUUGAGCCUUAACCAUUACCCAUCUAAUUUUCUCCGUCUACUUAACCAUUUUUCUUCUUUGUGAGCCUUAAUUUAAGGAGAUUUUUGGACUCAUUGUGUGGAUAUAUUUUGUUGCUUUUUCUACCUUGUAAUAAAGUUUCUCAAUUAGAUCAACAAGCAUUAUGCUUGAAUUAAAUUGUGCAAGGUUCGUUUCUUUUGUUUGAUUCAAAAACAAAAAAAAAAAAACAAAAAAAAACAAAAAAAAAUCGAAAAAAAAAAGAAAAAAAAUGUUACAUUCUUGGUGACUUGAGUAGAAAUAAGCAUUUUGAUAUCAUAAGUUCAUUCAAUGAGUUCAUUCUUCUCAUUUUGAUCUCUUUUUCUUUCGUAAACCUUUCUUUUUCAUUCAACCUAUUUAACCCCAUUACAACCCUUUUAAGACCCUUAGAUUUUUGCAUUUUAUUCAUGUUUUGUGGAUUGAGAUGUGAUAUAUGAGCAAGCUUAUGGUAAUAGCAUUCUUUGAUUUGAUUUGAGUGAAUAAAUGACACCCUAAACACUUUGAGUGCAUGGAGUGAAGUUAUUGAGAGGGCUAUUAAAUCUUGUUGCACUUGAGUUUUGAAUGGAUCUUCUUAGUGGUUGAAUGUGCUUAUUCUAUCUUAUGAAAUUCUAUGCUUUAAAAUCCUUGUCUCUCGAAUGUUGAUCGACUUAAUUUCUUGAGGUAUGCUUGCUUAAAACUGUUUUUGGAUGAGUUGAGAUGAGAAUUGAGUGGAGAUUUGAGAUUAAUCUUGAGUUAUAUGCUUGAGGACAAGCAUCAUCUUGGUGUAGGGGAAUUUGAUAGAGUGUAAUUUAUGCACUAGUUUUGCAUUAUUUACUUCCCUUAAUAUCAAUGUUUUGCACUUAAUAAUAGUGAUUUACUUGUGUUUUACUUUUGUAGGUGCAAUUCUAUUGAUUGAUGAUAAAAUUGAGCUAUAAGAUGAUGUUUAAGGAUGAUUGUUCUCUUGGAGAAAUUAUGAGCGUCAGAAGAACUUUGUUGAUAAGGCGUGGGCGCGUGCUGUCAACUGCGGACCUGCAGUUUUUAGUUUAACGUGUUUUGCAUUUUUGGUUAUUUUUGUAAUUACGAAUUUAAUAUUUCAGAUAUUAGGAUUUUAUUUUAAAUAGAAUUCUAAAAGAGAAGAGAGAGAGAGUAUUUAAGGGAGGAAUCUAUUGUGAAAAAGGGGGAUUUUUUUGGAUUGGAGAAAAAGAAAGAAAACCCUAGAUCUAAUUUUUCUCUUCUCUCUAUGAAGAACUAAACUUAUUUUUCUGGUUGAAGGAUAACGAAGCUUUGAUUCAUCACUACUGUGAGAUCUUUCUUGUGCUUUAAUUGUUUUAUUACUUUUUGGGUAUUUGUUUAUUCUCUGUAUUAUUUUCAUGAUUAUGUUUGUUAAUUAGGUAAUUGGCCAUUAUUUAAUUAUCAACUUAAUCUAUUGUCAAUUAAAGGAUUCAUCGUAUGAAGAAUUUAAUGUUUGUGACAAAUAACAUAGCAGAGAGUUGUGUUGUGAGAAUAAACAAUCUAAUUUAAAUGAAUCAUCAUAUGUGUUGAUUAGGAUUUGGGUCUCUCUGGUUUUUCAGGCUGUCAAUUGAUUAAAUCCUAUGAUCGUAUCUAGGGUUGUCUAUUGAUUAGGGAAAUAACCAACGGUCGUACCUUGGUUAUCGACUAGUUAAGGAGAGAUUGGCUAUUAGAGGGUCUCAAUAGCUAUAACCGGUCUAUUAAUAAGUAAUAAUAAUCUAUAUUUGAAUCAAUGAUCAGUAGUCGAAUCAAGCUGAGUUAAUUCCUUCAACCAGAGCUUUCUCCAAUUUGAAUUACAACUUUAAUUUGCAUUCUUGUUAUUUUAAUUUGAUUUUUAUUAUUGUCAACAAAACCCCCAUUUUAUGUUUUACGUUUUAAAAGGAUUUAAAUAAUUACCGAUCUCUGUGGACACGACCCUGCUCAAUCACUAUACACAAUUUAUUUAGAGUAGGAAUUUAUUUUUGUUGGCUUCGACACCCAUCAGUCACCUUCUCUAUUAAAUAAUUAACAAUGAAUUUCAUAAAUAUUUUUAUGGUACAAUUUUAGUAAUUUAUAAAAUAAGCUUAUUUGUUGUAUUGUUGUCGUUUAUUUUAUCAAGUAUAUGUAUUUUAAUAAGAUUUCUAACGUUGUGUGCUUUGUGUUGCUUGAUAUACAUAUUCUUUUACUCUUCUUCAUGUACUGACUGUUGUACAAAUUCUAAUGUACUUGCAAGCACACAAAUCUAUUGGAGUAUAUACUAAAAAUAAUGAGGUCGAACCUAUAGGAUUGUUUAUUUUAGGAAAUAAAAAUCUAAUCUUAGCUAAUUAUAACUUUACCAUAGUUGAAAAGAAACUAUUUUGUUUAAGAAAAUAUAAACAAAAAAUAUAAACAAAAAAUAUAAGUAAACUAAAGGUGAGAAAAUUAAUAUAAAAAUUUAAGAGAUUGAAGUUACUAGGAUUGUAGAAUCCACCACUUUAACUUAAUAAUUAUCUAAAUACCCAACAAUUAUCAAAUUUAGAGUGACAACUGAAAAUCAAUUUCUGUCUACUCAUAGAUAUAAUAAUUAAGUCCAAUUAAAAUUAAUCUUAUAUAGGUUUUUUUUUUGUUUAAUAGUAUAAUAUCUAAACAUCCCAUAUAAAUAAUAUUGUGUUGGACGGGUAGGCACCCAAGAUGGGCCGACCUGACCCGACCCACACAUGGUAACAACUUAUUGGUUACCAUAUGCGUUUGGGAGAGGGAAAUUGAUUUGUGUUCAACUUCCCAACCGCUCCCAACCGUUGCUUGUAUAUGCCACCAAAACCGUUGCUGUAAAUGUACGAGUUUUUCCAUUCAUUCGAAAAAGCAGUGUGUGUGUGGGUGAACAAAAAAUACAGAGAAGAUUCAUCUUAAUCUCUUCCUCAUCAAGAUUAAAAUAAAGUCUUUGAACAAUCCGUAAAAUACAUAUAUAUUGUGACUUGAUGAAGAUUUCUGCCCGUGAUUUAUUUCCGACCAGUGACAUGAUCCAACACCUGUUUAUUCUGCUGCAUAAUUCAAAAAAUGUAAGGCCUAUUGACUUCCUUUUAAGAAUUUCCUUCAAAUAGUAUCAGAGCCUGAAUUGUGUUGGAUUCGUGCAUUGGUUGGAUUUAAUUCAUGAACAACAUGAUUUUUUUUUUAUGCCCGUUGUUUUAAGUGUUCUGGAAUGUUUUAUAUGAAUGGAUAUCUGGAAUUGAUAUUAUUAAAACCUACCUAGGGUUUAGAAUGCAUGAACCCUAAAUAUAUAUAAAACCUGAAACUUCAAUGGAUCAUAUCUUUUGAUCUAGGACACCUGACAAUAUGUGUAAUAUAUCAUUGGGAAGAUCUUUUCGAGAGCUUUCCAACAGUAUGUGAUUUGUUAAAAAUUGACUUAAGACGAGAAAUUUAUGGCUAAAAUAUGAUUAGUGUCGGAUUAAGGUUUGGAAAGGGUUAAAAACCCUAAUUUGGAGAAGAUGAUGAACAGUAUCAGAUUUAGUUUUUUGACAAUUCCAGCCUAUUCCGACCUCUGUUUGAAAAUCCAAACGCACUAUUGAAUUCAUAAUGAAAUAUGGAGUCGGAUGGUGCCGGACCCAACGUUACUGGAGCGGCGCAAGGCUGCGCGUGGGUCCUACGCGCCGGUUGUGUGUGUUGAACACGCACUGUACAGUUGUGCACUGUAGAACAAUGUUUUGCACUGUAGAGCAUUAUAAUUUUGGAUCGAACAUAUAUAGUCUCAUGGAUGAGUAUUAUAUGUUAAUAAAUAUUUCGCUCUAGUGAGAGCUUAAAUAUUUUUUUUUAUAUGGGAAUUAGCUAAAAUUUAAUCUCGUAUUUAGUCGUUUGUUAACAAUCACUAAUUUGAUUUUUAUAAUUUUUUUGUCGUAGAUGGCUCCCGUUAGUAAGUUGUGGACUGAGGAAGAGGAUUUAAUGACAAUUAGAGCUUGGGUUUCACCUAAUGAUCUAAUUGAGAUUAAUAAUAGUCUAUCUUAUGAAGAACUUAUGGAGAAAAUGGAGAAUUAUAAGAUGGACCCUGAUCGUCCUAUAUGCAUGAACAUAGAAGAUUUAUAUGGGGCUUUUAACCGCUUAAUGUCCACAAAUAAGCCUACUAUGUAACGAACUGGGGUUAUUAUCAAUGGCUUCUCAUUCAAUCAUUACUUGAUGAUGACAAUACACUUGUCUUUAAGGUUCGCAUGUUAAAUGAGAUUGAGAAACCUUCAUACAGAUAUUAUAUGCUGAGGUGUGAAAUUGAGUUGAUGGAGGAGCACCGUCUUGUUUCAAAGAUGAGGCAAACCUCAGUGCUUAGCAUUCACACGAACUUCGAAAUGGGAGACAAGCUAGUCGCCUUGGUAGAGGGCAGAAGUUAUGGUAUGAGAAAACCAUAAACAGAAUCAUCAAGAGAGAACAAUUAUUUUUUUUUGGAGAUAGACUUAAGUAUAAGUUAGAUAAAAGAGUCACGUGCAACAAAGAAUAUUUUAAGAACAUGUAGAAUAUUCUAUGUAUUAGUUUGACUAUGUUAGGUUAUUUCAUUUGUUUCUUGAUUAUGAUUGUUCUUUUUAAAAUUGGUUUUAAUUUGUUGGUUGAAUUAUAUGUUGUUAUGACUUCAUUAAUGAUAUUUUACAUUAAUUGUUGCUCGACUAAAUUUAUAAUUAGAACUGAUAAUUUUACGCAUUAAAAUCGAAUUAAUGAUGAAUAUAAUAAAGGGAAUUGGAUGAUGAUUGGAAGCCUCGACGACCUUUUGAUUCCAUUCCCGAUAUUAGUCCGUCAUGUUUUUAGUUUACGUUUCGAAAAAAUUAAUUGUUUGUAUAUAAUUAUUAAUUAUGCCUUUAGUGAUUGUAUUUUGAAUUGUCUCUGUGUUGAAUUAUAGUUGAGAUGGCCUCUGCAUCUAAAAACAUUGUGGUUGAACUGAACUGAACAAGGGUGAGAAACUGAAUGAUGACAAUUACGAUAUUUGGCACCGUAAAAUUCAGUACAUCUUUGAAGAGCAAGAAACUCUAGAAGCUCUUAACAACACCCUAGCUGAGCCUGAGCAAGACAGUAUUGCUCAACACAAGAGGGAUCUUGAGGCCUAUCAGGCCUGUAAAGAAAAGAAUAGCAAUGCGCACAUAACGUUGUUGAGCAGUAUGCAAGAUGACCUCAUGUUCGAGUAUGAGAAAUAUGAGACUGCUCAAGAGAUAUGGCUCACUCUGAAAGACAAGUUUGGUGGUACCUCGGCCACUAAACUCAAAAGGCUUAUGAUCAAAUUCGACUCUUAUCAUAAGCACCCGAACUAUACUAUGAGGCAGCAUCUGAGGGAGAUGUUGAACAUGGUUCGUGAGCUUAAGUCUGCUGGACAUGUUUUAACUGAUGAACAACAAAUUCAGGCAAUGAUAAGAUCUCUACCCGAUACCUGGGAACACAUGAAAGUGAAUAUAACUCAUAAUGAGAAUAUAAGAACUUUUAAAGAUAUUGAGCAUCACUUAGAGCUGGAAGUAGAGCGCCUUGAGGUUGCUAAGCUUUCUGAUAAUGUUUUUAUGGCUGAGUUGAGCUUGCACAAAGCUUCGGGCUUCAAGCGCAAAAAUGGUCAUAAAUAUAACCAGAAUGGUAAAGGAUCUGAUCUUGAUCAGAAGAAGCCAAAUGCUUAAAAGCGCCCAAGAGGUAAGCGUGCUUGUAAGAAAAUGGACAAAUCCAAGGUGAGAUGCUACAACUGUAGCAAGCUGGGUCAUUUCGCUCGUGAGUGCACUAAGCCGAAAAAGGUAAGACCCAACUACACUUUGUUAAAUUAUGCUUUAGUUAUGAGUUUGUACUCCUAACCGAAUCUCGUCCUAUGUAGACUGUAGACUCAGGAGCAACAGACCAUAUAGCUCGUGAUCAAGAUGCAUUUGUGGAGUAUUGUCGAAUCAGCUAGGGGAGUAGAUGGAUAUACGUGGGCAAUAACUCUAGAGUUGAGGCAAAAUGAAUACGCAUCUGCAAAUUGACUUUUCGUGGUAGACGUAUUCUUUUGUUACACGAUGUCCUGUAUGCACCAAAAAUUCGACGAAACUUGAUUUCUGUCCAUGUUCUUCUUGAAUUAGGAUAUCACUUAACUUUUCAUGGUGUCUGUUUAGAGAUCUUCUUAAAUUCAGUCCUUAUUGGAAUUGGGCAUUUAAUUAAUGGUUUUAUUGUAUUAGAUUCAAUACUUGAUGGUUCAAGUUAUAAUAAUAGUUAUUUUUCUUAUGUUACUUCUUCUAGCAAUAAUGAAAUAGAUGUCAUCACUUGGCAUGCUAGAUUAGGUCAUAUAUGAUAAGAAAUAAUAUAUAGACUUGCGAGAAAGGGCAUGUUUGGUCCACUCACCAAGAUUGAAUUGCCUUAUGUGAAAAUUGUCUAGUUGGAAAAACAACUAGAAAAUCAUUUAACAAAGGAAUUAGAGCCAAAAAACCAUUGCAAUUAAUGCACUCUGACAUCUGUGGUCCAAUGAAUGUAAGGACUAAAGAUGGAGCCUCAUAUUUUAUUACAUUCAUUGAUGAUUAUUCAUGUUUCGGUCAUGUCUACUUGAUUUCUCAUAAAUAAAAAGCAUUGGAUUGCUUUAGAUUAUAUUUGAACAUGGCAGAGAAUUAACUAGACAACAAUGUUAAAGCUCUAAGAACUUAUUGAGGACAUGAAUACCUUUCGAAAGAGUUUAAGGAACUCUGUAAUGAGAAAGGGAUAAAAAGACAGCUGACUAUUCCUGGAACUCCGCAAUAAAAUGGUUUAGCGGAAAAAAUGAAUAAAACUUUAUUGGAAAUGGUUAGAUCAAUGAUGGCGCAAGCAAAUCUUCCAAUAUCCUAUUGGGGAGAUGCUUUGUUAACUACUGCCUAUGUAUUUAAUUGAGUUCCUUUAAAAUCAGUUAGUUCCACCUCAUAUGAGUUAUAGACGGGUAGAAAACCUGACCUAUCUCAUCUGCGGCCAUGGGGGUCUGUAGCUUAUAUUCAUAACUAUACUCAUAAGUUUGAAAAAUUGGGAGCUAAGAGUACAAAGUGUUUCUUUAUUAGAUACUCAGAACACUCUAAAAGAUAUGUGUUCAUUGGUGAACAAAUAAGUGGAAUUAUGUCUGAAUUGGAAUCACGAGAUAUCAGUUUUCUAGAAAAUGAAUUUUCUAGCAUUGGAGAAGUUGAUAAGGAUUUUUAAUUCUAUGAAUUAGAAUAUCCAAAUGAUAUUAUCACUUCUAACUAUGAUGUUGGUGUUAGUACGGAUCCUUUAGGGAUUGCCACUCUGAGUGGGAGUGAAACACCAGACACUUCGAUUCCAGCUGGGGAAUCAACUCGAAAGAGUAAUCGUAGGCCAAUUACUCGUUGUCGCUUUGGGAUUGAGGGAGAAGCUUUUAUGAUUACUUCACACGAUGGUGAUAAGCUAAAUACGUAUAACGAGACUCUCACAUCAUCUGCUAAGGAUUCAUGGAUAAAAGUAAUGGAGGAAGAGAUAGAGUCUAUGAAAGUCAAUCAGGUCAAGGACUUGGUUGAUCUUUCGCCUAACCGUUAAGUUAUCGAAAACAAAUGGGUUCUCCGGAUAAAGUGUAAGGUGGAUGAGACAAUAGAGAGAUAUAAAACAAGAUUAGUCGUUAAAGGCUAUAUCUAACAGGAGUGUGUAGACUAUGAAGAGACAUUUUCUCCUAUAGUAAGGUUUGCUUCUAUACGAUUAAUCUUGGCUAUCGUUGCACAUCUAGACCUUGAGUUACAUCAAAUAGAUGUAAAAACUGCAUUUCUCAAUAAAGAACUAGAGGAAAAAAUUUACAUGGAAUAACCACAAAGUUUUGUUGUUAAAGGCCAAGAGCGCAAAGUAUGCAAGCUCAAAAGAUUUAUCUAUGGCCUUAAACAAUCUUAUAGACAAUGGAACCUUAAAUUCCAUCAAGCCGUAGUUUCUUAUGGCUUUAGGAUAGUUAAAGAAAACCAUUGUGUGUACAUUAAGAGGUCUAAAGACGAUUUUACGAUAUUGUCUUUGUAUGUGGGCGAUAUAUUGUUAGCUGCGAACAUUAAAGAGUUUGUCAAAACUGUUAAAUAUUAACUAUACUCAAAUUUUGACAUGAAAGAUAUGGGUGAAACCUUUUAUAUUUUAAGAGUCAAAAUUUUCAGGGAUCAUUCACGGAAACUUCUUUCUCUGUCACAAGAACCUUACCUUAAGAAGAUCCUUGAAAGAUUUAAUAUGGCUGAUUGUAAGCUAAUAGAUACCCCAAUAGCUAAAGUGCAAUCUCUUAAUCUCGAUAUGUGUCCCAAAAUUCCUCAAGAAAAUGAAAGAAUGACUAGAGUUCCUUAUGUAAAUGUCAUUGGAAGUCUCAUGUAUAUUAUGAUGUGUACAAUGCCUAAUAUCAGUUAUACUGUAGGACUGGUGAGCAGAUUCCAAUUGAAUCCUGGACAGAAGCAUUGGAGUGCGAUCAAGAGAUUUUGGCAUAUCUUAAAGGCACUGCAGAUUAUUCUUUAUGCUAUCAAGGAGGUGGUUUGCAAAUUGUUAGAUAUUCAGAUGCCGACUGGGGUGGCGACCUGGAUGAGUGCAAAUCGACCUCAGGACAUGCAUUCUUGCUAAACAGAAGAGCAAUUACAUGGAGUAGCAAGAACAGAAUAGCAAUUACAUGGAGUAGCAAGAAACAAACAUGCACAGCUUUAUCGACGAUGAAAGCCGAAUAUAUUGCAUGUUCUACAGCAGUGCAAGAAGUUGUAUGGCUUAAGAGAUUUGUGGAGGACUUAGAGAUUAAUAUUAGCGUUAUUAGUCCAGUAACUAUCUAUUGUGACAGCCAGACUGCCAUCUCUUUCUCUAAAGACAUCAAAUACCACAGCAAGUCGAAACAUAUUGAGACUAAAUACGAUUUUAUAAGAGACAUUUUGGCAAAGAAGGAAGUAGCCGUACAAUAUAUAUCUAUGCAUAGCAUGAUAGAUGAUCCACUUACAAAAGAUAUAACGAGGGAUGCAUUCGCCUCUCAUGCUAGAUCGUUGGGGCUACGUAGAUUAUAAUCUUGCAUUAUAAAGAUAUUUUUAUUCUGUAAACAUUUUUAUUACAUGAAUUAUUUUUAAAUGCAAUGAUGUUUUAAGUUCUCUUAUUUCAAUUUAGUUUAGAAAAGGAAUAAUUACACAUAUAUGAAAGUAUGUCGUCAAGUCAAUGACCGGCUUUCUUACACGAGCGGUCACCUUAGUUGCUCUGGGAGCAAGCUAAGAUGAGACAAGUAGAAUAAUGAGAUAAUGUGUUUUGUCUAAGAGCCAAAAAACAAAAAAAAAAUAUUUUACAAAUUUUGUCGUCUUGACUAGAGUCAAGAUGAGGUCGUAUACGAUAUUUUCUCGUCGACCGACUAUAAUUUACCCCACCAUCAUAGAGACCUGAUUGAAGCCAGAUGUGAGAUUUUAUUUUGACUCUAAAAGAGAGCGUUCACUUUAAGAACCCAGGUCAGGCGUUGUAGAAGAGCGACUGGACUAAAAUCUAUAUAGUGAAUUGGAUUAAUGAGACAUACACCUUGAAAUGGAAGAUUCACUGUAACUUGUGUAUCAUAUCGCGCGUGCUUGGUGACCAAACUAGAAAAUGAGAGAAUCGCUCUUCUUCCUCAUUGUGUAAGUUCCGCAUGAGUUUCUAUAAGUCAAUUUUGGUAUCCCUAUGACUAUCAGCUAUGUUUCUGAGAUUUUAGACUGGUGUCUGCUACUUUAACAUGUUAUCUAUGACCUUGACAUGAUUUGGUUUAUGAAACAUAACUAAGAAAGCGACUACUCUGGAUUGAUAGACAUGAGUGUGAUGGAAAGAUUUAAUUUUUUUCAUUUUAUGUGAUUCACUGGUCGACCAAUUGUUUAAUAUCUUUGUGAUAUUACAAUUGUGAAUACAUAAAGAGAUUGCGCAAUUUUGGCAUACCGAGGGCAUUUAAUAUGCUUGAGUAUUAAAGUAAAUUAAAUUUAGGAUACAAUAAACAUAUGUUGAGGUCUCUUGCAUAUGAUUGCAAUUGAGACAUCUCUUGUCUGGGUUAGCAAUUGAGAUAUGUCUUUGGCUCUCUGAAUGAGGUUUUGGAUGUGUUCAUGGUCACACAAUAUAUUUACCAGUAUGAUUGGAGAUAUGUGGUUGUUCAUUGUUUCUUUAUUCACUGCUCUGCUGUUUUGAUGUGGUCCUAUCAUGUGCGAGUGGGAGAUGUUGGACAAGUGGACGCCUAAAAUUGGCCAACCCGACCCGACCCGACCUACACAUGGUAACCACUUGUUGGUUACCAUAUGCGUUUGGGAGAAGGAAGUUGAUUUGUGUUCAACUUCACAACUGUUCCCAAUCGCUGUUUAUAUAUGGCAACAAAAUCAUUACUAUAAAUGUACAUGUUUUUCCAUUCAUUCGAAAAAGCAGUGUGUGUGUGGGUGAACAAAAAAUACAGAGAAGAUUAAUCUUAUUCUCUUCUUCAUCAAGAUUAGAACAAGAUCUUUGAACAAUCCGUAAAAGGCAUAUAUACUGUGACUUGAGGAAGAUUUCCGCUCGUGAUUUCUUUCCGACCAGUGACAUGAUUCAACACAUGUUUAUUCCGCUGCAUAAUUCGAAAAAGGUAAGGCCUAUUGACUUCCUUUUAAGAAUUUCAUUCAUAUUGAAUAAGAAGUAUUCAAAUUCUUUCUAAGUAUAAUGUGUAAACAAUUUAAUAAAAUACAUAAAAUGAAAAAUAAUCAUAUAAACUUUAGAGACCUAAGAAUAAGUUUAGUCAAAUAUUAAUCCUAAUAACAAAUAAUGCAUGACCAUGUGAAAUAAAAACCAUUUAAAAAUAUCCAACUAAACAUGUGAAAUAAAAACCAUAAGUACGUAUGUAGAGAAUUAAUUGAAAAAAUAAUUUAUUUUAUUUAGCAGUUAUCAUCACUGACCAUGGUAUAAACAUUAGAAAGACAAGGGAAAUUGAGAACAGUAGACCAAUAGAACCGGUCACGCAGCUGCUGCCUCUAAUUCUUUGAAUCUCUCUUCGUCUAUGCGUGCGUUCACCAUAUGUUCUUCUGAAAGCCGAAGGCUUCUGCUUUGUUUUGUUAUUUUCAUUUUGUCCACCCCCGCCCCCCACCUCCAUAAUACUGGGCCAACUUCAAAUUAACUUCCAAAUCAUUGUAGAAUUAGGUUGCUUAGCCCCCAAUCUUCAAGUUAAAUCAUGUAAAGAUGCAUGCUUUACGAUUAUGAUUCUUUUACGUGCAGGCCCUAAAAUAGAUUCUAAUCAAUUAGCCCAAAUCCAAGCAUCAAGCCCAUUUGAUUUAUUUUGCGAUUGCCUUGCACAGUUGCACUUGCAGCUAUUGAAUUCUUCCUUUUCUUCUUCUUCUUCUUCUUCCAUUUCGAUUCUUUUGUGAGCAUUUUCUCUCCAAACUUUAAUUGAUUACCCUGUUCAACAAAAUAAAGUAAUUAUCUGAAAAAAAAAAGAGACUAGUUAGUACAUAAUUAGAGGGGGAAUAUAUCAAUUUAUUAUGCCCAUCAAAUACCUCCAAACCUAAAUUUUGCUUGUUCUUAAGCAAAACUAAGAAUGAAAAAUAAAGAAGCCGAAAUAAAUUCUAACUAAACCACUUUUGCAUGCAGUAACUAUUAUAUUUAGUAUAUGCAACAAGUAUUUAAACCCCUAAACAUCUCUAAUGGACAAGUUAUAGUCUCAUGAGGGUUUUCAGUGACGAUAUCCACGAACAUCAUCAAGAUUAAAUUAAAGAUAAUAAAUGAAUAUUAAAAAUAAUGACAUUUUUUUCUCUCUUUCAAGGCACUUGCAUUCAUCUCUUUGAUUAGAUUAAUAACAACAAUGAAAUAAAAAUAUAAACAUUGUCUCCUACCUAAAGAAAUAUCACUCCUAUUCACACGAUCAACUAAGUAAAUUCAUCUCGGACUUUAAUCUUGGACUUUCAUUCCAGAUACUAUAUAUAUAUACAUAUACAUACAUACAUACAUACAUACAUACAUAUAUAAUUUUCUGAUUCGGGAUCAUAAAGUGCGGGAAACGUUUGGGAAAACUUUAAAACCGCAGGAUUUUAAAAGUUUAAAACUUAAAGCGCUUAAACCGCACGGUUUAUACAUUUUCCCGGACAUUCUCGCACUUUAAAAUAUAUAUAUAUAUAUAUAUAUAUAUAUAUAUGUUUCAGUCCGGAAUUUUAAAGUACGGGAAAGUGCGGGAAAUCUUUAAAACCGCACGGUUUUAAAGGCUUAAAACUGUAAAUCUUUAAACGUACGGUUUUAAAGCUUUCCCAGACUUUCCCACACUUUAAAAUCUCUGACCAAAAAACUACUAUAUAUAUAUAUAUAUUGUAUUUAAAAUUGUAUUUAUGUGUUUUGUGUUAAAUUUGUGUUUAAAAUUGUAUUUGAAAUUUUGUUAUAGUCGGAUGCAAGCCAGCCAACAAAGAGACGUACGUCCUUAUAGAGAAAAGAAAGAAGAAGAAAAAAAAAGGAGGAAGAAGACGGAGAAGAAGGAAAAAAAAAAACAAACUGCAGAAAAGAAAGGAAAAAGGGAAUUGGAUUAAAUUCUAAUGUGUAUUGAUGAAAAGUUUUAAUGAAGAUGUUUGUUGCUAGGGUUAUUCAUUUUAUCGGGGUAGAAUGGGAACUUCAAAGGGGGUGGAAAUCAAUAUUUCAUUCCUCAUUUUCAAAUUCAAGUAGGCCCACGAUUCCGAUUCUAUUCCUGUUUCCAUUUUGUGAAGUAAACACCGAUAAUUAUUUUGAUUCUGAAUUCCGAUUUCUUCAUACGGGAAGUAAAUGCAGCCUAAGAGCAAGCAAAAUCCACGGUUGUACAUGAAUAGGUUAUGCUUAUAUGGGCUAUCGCAUACUUUUUUUUUUCUUUUUUCAAAUCCUAUUAUACUUGAAUUGGGAUUAGUGCUGAUCUAAGUUAGGUGGUGAUUACGGGGGGGGGGGGGGGGGGGGGGGGCUGCUUUCUCAUAGGCUCGGCUAGCAAUAUCUGGUUCUUUGUCAAGAAAUUAAGAAAUUGCUUGGUUAUCUUGCAUUAUGGAUUAUCCCAAAGAUAGUUCAGUUGGCUUGAUUCUUGCAAUGUAAGCUAUAAAUCAUGGGUUCAAGUCUAAGGAAAAUGCAUUCGUUUGGGAUUAGAUAAGAGUGUGGUGCAAUGUUACCUUAAAAAAGUCUCACUUAAUGGAUAGUACACAUUAAUUACAUUAUCUUAAUUUCAUGGUUAUAUUGAUGUGACGUGAAUUUUAACAAGCAUGGAACUCUAUUCUCUUAGAUAGUCAAUCUUUAGAUUCUUAUAUCUUUAAUUUUAUGGUCAGAUAGCAUUGUAAAAACCAACAAUAUAAUUGAUAAUUUAAAGUAAGAAUGUUUGUUUCUUAAAACAUAGUAAAUAGCACCGGCAAAUGAAUUAGAUGAAGACUGUAAAUAUAUGGAAAAAAAUAAUAAUACUAAAUAUAGUGACGUUUGAGUCCUAAUUUUUUGUAUCGCGAUCUAUCGAAUAAUAAAUUUCAUAAGUUGAAAAAUUGUGUAUUUACUAUCUAAUAUACGAAUACUACAUCAAUUCAUACUCAAAGCUUCUUUCUCACUCGUCCUCACUCAAAGGCGGCAAGCAUUUCCGGCAUCUUUGUAGAUUUCCGUUGGCGCAACAACAAGGUUUGAAGCUUUCCUUUUUAUUUUAUUUAAAUUGUCAGAAACUCUUUUUUUUUCCCCGGCUUAUAAUCUUUGCACCCUUGAAGCAAGUGUUUUCAUUCGACACGUGUUGAAAAUUAUUCUAGAAUGAAACUAACCCCUUUUUGCGACACGUGCUUUGAGAAGUCCGAUUUCAUCAAAUAUUCUGAGCUGUAAUAUUAAUAAUAGAUGCUGAAACAGAAAAAGUCACUUAUAGAUUAUUUUGUUUAUUAUUAAUUUUUGUCUAUUCUAUGAAAAUGUGGUCAAUUUCUAGCUCAAAUUACUCUAAAAAUGAUUUUAAGACAUUUUGGCUAAUUCUGGUGUUCACCAGCUGGAAUUUGUCGGAACGAAACCGAUGUAUCAAUUUUAGCGCGGGCGCCACGAAAAAAAAAAAAAGAAAGAAAGAAAAAAAGUUCAUCCACGGUGUGUGGUAGAUGGGUGAAGACAAUUUGAGAACUUGGAAUCAUCAAUGAGGGAAAAAAAUAUGUUGACCACCAGUGUGGAUUAAAGUGAAUACAAUGGCAUUUUGGAAGGUAAUGUUGGAAUAUUUUAUAGUGCCCCAACGUGCCACAUUAUUAAAUUAGUAAUAAUAAAAUAAAUUAUAAGUUGAAAUUUAUUGUUUAAUUGAAAAAAAUUAAAUGUCCAUUUUGAUGGAAAAUGAGAAUUAAGGUUUUAUUAAAAUUGAUUCUCUCUCCGCUCAACAUAUAAAAGAAUAUCACGUUAAUUUUCUCUCCAUCAGAAAGUAAAUCACUCUAAAGAGGUCUAGAGAGAGAAAUUAAUUUUGUCAAUCUUUAAUUCUUGACAGUGAGAUUUGAUCAAGAAAAAUUGCUAUGGAUCAAGAUAUGUUUUUUCUCAAUUAUGAUAAUGUGAAAAUCAUGAUAUUUUAUAAUCUCAGGGAUUAAAGUUUAUUAAAAUUAGGGUUUGUUUGCUUUAUGGGAAUUGAAAAAAAUUCCAACAGGCAAUUCAAGUUUAUCUUCUAGUGGCACACUUUCUCGAAGUGAGAACAGAAUUUUCAAUGGUUGUUUUGCACUGCCGGGCCUAGGUUCGUAAAUCUCCUUUGUUCUUUCUGUAGAAAUUUUAGCUACCAGUCAACAGAGAUUGCUGCUCAAAAUUGCUGGCUUUCGUCAUGGGUGGAAAGUGGAUGAGUUGUAAAAACUAAGCACGCAAUUUGUUGUCAUUCUUCUCAGCCUCUGCAAUGGCUUUUGUACAAAGUGCUUUCGUCAUGGGUGGAAAGUGGAUGAGUUGUAAAAACUAAGCACGCAAUUUGUUGUCAUUCUUCUCAGCCUCUGCAAUGGCUUUUGUACAAAGUGGAUGACCAAAGCACGGCAAUUGAACUUUCGUUGUGUCCAUAUCUUUCGAGAAGGAAAGUUAGUGACAGAUGAUAAUUUAGGACUCUUUUGGUCUUGCUGAAAUUCUCCACCUAGUGAUGUUGUUAAACUUAAAUCUCCGUACAGGGAUUACUACUAGUGGCUGCCUUCUCGUAGGUUCAGCCUAUGAUAUCCGGUUACUUAUCAAGAAAAAAAAAAAUUGUGGUCAUAUUAUCGAAUAUUUCAAAAAGAUAGUCCGAUUGGCUAAAUUCUUACGAUGAAAGCAACAGAUCAUGAAUUCAACUCUAGAGGGAAUACAUUUACUUUGGGGUUGGAUAAGGGAAGGGUGCAAUGUCACCUAAAAAAGUCUGGCAGCGACAUCACACAUUUACAUUAUCAGUCCAUGUAUAUAUUGAUGUAUGCCAAUUGUCAAGAAUUUUCACAAGUUGGGAGUAAUCAGUAAAAUACUCUGCUCUUAUUUAGUCAAUCUUUGGAUUACUAUAUGCUAUUGUAGUCAUAAUAUUGCAAAGUCGUAAAAACCAGCAAUAUAUAUAAUUUAAUGUAACAACGUUUGAUUUUUAAAACAUAAAUAAUAAAGUACAUCACUAUAAUGAAUCUGCUGAAUGACUGAAAAUAUAGUAAAGAAGAUGGUUGUCGAGAUUUAAUUUUUCAUCAAACAAGCUAAUAUUGCUCAAAGGGGAAAAAAAGAAAAAGAAAAUACUACGAGUAUUCUGAAUUUAAAUAGAAAGUUCCUUAAUGGUGGUUUCGGUGUUGAAAACUUUUUCAAUUUAUCGUGUAAAUAGCCUUUUUUUUUUUCACUCUAUUUAGGAUUUAGUCCUCAUUCUCCAUCCUAUUUCUUAAUAAAUUUAAGAAAAAUUGGUAGUUUUCCUCCUAUUAUUAUUAAUAUAUAUCACUUGUCCGGUGCUGUUUCAUAAUAGCAAAUAACUUCUUUGGUAUAAAAAAUUUAAGGAAAACUAGCAACAAAUGGGUCAUUUGUUUGAUAUUUUUAUCUUUGAAAUAUAAAAUAUAUAUUUAUUAUAAGAAAUUUUUUUUAAAAUAACAAAAAGUAUAAGAAAAAUAUCUUAUUAUUAAUUUUUUUUAUUCACGCUCAAAUCUAUGUCUCUAUUUUAAUAUUUAAAUCUGUUUAAAUUAAUUUAUUUAAUUAACAAUAUAUAUGAAUAAAAAAUAAUUUAAAAAUAAGGAUAAUACCGUAAAUUUAUGGCGUCAUGGGGUUAUUGUUUAUUAUGAAAAUAGUAUAUGAAUAAAUGAUAUAUAUUAAUUAUAUAUAUAAUUUCAAUAAUAGGAAAACUAACAAUCUCCCUACAUUUAGUGGGGUGGGGAGAUGAGAAAUCCUCACUUGGAUAUCAGUUUACCCAUCACCCGCUCUUCUUCAUUUUCCUAUUUUAUAUUAGAUUUUUAUAUCUAGUUUGGUGAAAUAAAAAUUAGAAUGACUCAAAUAAAAUCAUCACUAACAUACUAUAAAGUACUUAAAUUAUUAAAAGUAGAAAAACAUCUCCAACAUAUUGGAAUAGUAUCUUGAAUAAUAUAAAAAUGUAAAAUAUUUGUAUAAAUAAUAACUAAAAAAUGUAUAUAUUUAUAUAUAUGGCGGUUGGUGUGGAGGUGGAGUAGCUAAGGAAUACAAAACCAAACAUCACUUUAUUAAAAAUUUGGGAUUAUUUUCCCAUCAUUCUAUGCCCAUUCCCAAAAAAUUCAUAAAAAUAUGUCCCAUUUGGGGUGGAGUUUCGUGGAGUCCCAAAUAUAUAAAGAAUUUUGCCAUGUCUAAUUAAUAUGGAUGAAAAAGUCAGUUGUAGAUAAUUUAAUUUAUUCUUUUUGUCUAGUUCCAUGAAAAAUUUUGUCAAUUUUAGCUCAAAUUACUUUUAAAGAUAUUAAAAAUUAUGGCUAAUUUUAUUUUUCAGCAGCUGGAAUUUGUAGAAACGAAUCCAAAGUACCAAGACAAACAAAAGUAUAGCCGCCAUGCUUGGUGUGUAGUAGACGGGUAAAGACAAUUUCAGAGCUUGGAAAUCUUCAAUGGCGUUCUUGACUGAAAUAAUGAAUAGACCCUACUGAGUAGGAAAUUAGGAAUAUCAACUAAGUAAAAAUGAAACAAACUUGCUGAGGGGACUCCUCUAAGGCGUAGGUGAUAGAGAAGUCCCCAUAACUCAAUUAAUAUAUUUCUAAUUCAUUGAAAUGAAUCAAUUAAUAGUAUAAGAAACCGGGAGUUGUAUAAUUAAUUGGAACAACGGAUUGUUUGGUAUAAAUUGAGCAAGUAUAACUUUUAAGUCAUUGUCCUAAAGAAUUUGGUAAACUCUUGGAAUUGUUAUUUGCAAGUUAAAUUAAUUUUAUUUACAAUUGUAGAAUGAAAAAUCUAUAAUAUAUUUAUUCUUUUUGUUAAAAAAUUAAUUAAAAAACAUAUUUACACACAUUAUUGAUUUUACUUCCAAUCUUUUUUUUUUUUACAGUAACUUAAUAUGAAAUAGGGCUUAACUAAUAAAACUAGUAAUCCGCACAUUGUCAUUUAAUUUUGUUUAUGAAAAUGUGACACUUUUAAACAUUAUGUUUUUUUCUUUUUGUAACUUUAUGUUUUACUCCCUUGCUUUACUCUCUUGCUCCUGUUUCUAAAUACUUAGUUAACUUACAUUAUACUAUCACAAAAAAAAAAAAAAAAAUAGUCGGUUUAAUUCUUGUAAUGAAUGCAAUAAAUCAUGGGUUCAACUCUAAAGGCGACACGUUUAAUUUAGGGUUGGAUAGGGGUGUUAAACGAUAUUAUUACUUUUGUGGAAAAGAAAAUCUUAUAUCAUGGACAUCACAGAUUUACAUUAUCUUUUAUGGUUGAUUAUACUGAGGCACGACAUGAAUUUUUCAAGCUUGGGAGUGAUCAAUAAAACUCUCUGCUCUCAGUCAGUGCAUCUUUGGAUUAUUAUAUGUAUUCUUUUAUGCUCAUAUUGCAAAGUUGUAAAAGCCAGCAACAUAUAUAAUUUAAGGAUCCCUUAAGAAUGUCUGAUUUUUGAAAACAUAAUCAAAUAUGUACACCAUUAAAUGAAUCAGAUGAAGACUGAAAAUAUAUUGAAAAUGGAUUGCGAAGAUUUAAUUUUUCAUUGAACAUUGGGAGCUGUCUUUUGAGAAUUUGACUGUUAUGUUUGUCUUCUAUAGUCGCACGGUAAUAAGAGUAAAGAGAUAAAAUAUAAUUUCCUUCGAUGUUUAGAUAGGUUUCGAAAAAUUUUUAGGGUCCCUUUCGUCGCACGCGCUUUAAGGAAGUCCAAUUUCGUCAAUAUAUAUUUUGACCCCUAAGAUUAAGAUAGAUGCAAAAGUCACCUAUAGAUAAUUCAAUUUGUUCCUUUUCUCUAUGAAAAAAUGGUCAAUUUUGGCUCAAAUUAAUUCCUUUUAAAAGAAUAUUAAAAAAAUUGUAGAUUCUAUGAAAAAUGGUCAAUUUUGGCUCAAAUUAAUUCCUUUUAAAAAAAUUAAAAAAUUGUAGCUAAUUUUAUUUUUCACCAGCUGCAAUUUUUAGAAACGAAUUCAUGUCAAAACAAAAGAAAAAGCCAGGGGUGAAGAGAAUUUGAGAGCUUCAAAGCUUUAAUGAAUUUUUUUUUUGUUUUGUUUGGGGGGGGGGGUGUUUUGGUUCUUGAAUGAGUGAAUAGGAAUAUGAAUUAAGUACAAAUGAAACAAAUGUGCUGCGGUGGGGGCUCAGCUAAGACGAACGCGAUAGCGAAGUACCCGUAAGCCUUUAAUUCAAUUAAGACAUUUCUAAUUGAUUGAAAAACUUCCGUUAGUGUUCAAUUUCAAUUCACCUAAAAACGUUAGGUUUUGGAAUUUAAAUAGGAAAAAUUGUAAAUAAUUUUAUCUUAGCCUUACAAUUUUUUAAAUGCUACAUGUUUAAAUCUUUUACAAAGAUUAAGAAAAAUUAAAUUAGGAGAGAAUUUAAAUCCAUUGGUGAGAUUGCCAUUUUGAAAAUUGCUCAAUCAUCAAUCCAUAUCAUUGAUAGGAAAAUUGAGAUUUUGAUCGCUCUUUAAAGACUUAUUUAUAACUUUUGAGUUGUUUACUAAUAAAUUUUCAUAUAACUCAUUCAUUUAUGAUGGAAAAAAUAUAAAGUGUUGGAAGUGACUUUUUAAACAUAGGAAUUAUCUAGUUUUAAUAGUAGCUAAAGCUCCCAUGUUAUUUAGUUUUGUAUAUGAAAAUAUGACAUCUACCCUUCAAAAUUAGUUUUUUUUUUCAUUUUUUAUUUAUUGUUUAUGUUUUACUAUUUGAUCUGUAGCCAAAUGGUAAAAACAAACUCUAGUAUCUAAGGUUUGAAUUAUCCAGUUGGUUCCUAUAUUUUUAGGAGAAAAAUCACUCAUAUCUCUAAAGUUUGUUUAAAUAGUUACAUGGACUCCCUUUUGUUUUAUAAAUGGUCAUGCACACCCCUCUUUAACUAUUAUACCCUCGAUUACUACAACCGAAUAAUUGACUUUAAAUGAACUUCUAUAAUUAACAUAAAUUAAAAUUAAAAUAAAAGGUUGUAUAGUUUAACAAUGUUGUUUAUAAUGUACUGAAAAUUAACUCUAUUAAGCCGUAUAGUUUAACAGCGUGUUCGCAUUAAGAAUAGUUUUAUAUAUAUAAACACACACCAGUCUAAGAAAGAAGCAGAUUAUAAUCAUGGCUUCUUUAGCUGAUCAGGAGGAAGAGACAAAUAAUUCCUCAUAUGCAAUGGAACUUGCAAGUGCAAUAGUGCUACCUGCAGUAAUGCAAGCAGUGGUAGAGCUUGAUGUGUUUGAGAUCAUAAGCAAAGCCGGUCCUGGUGCUAAGCUUUCGGUUGCGGAGAUUGUGGCUCAAAUUCCCUUAAAAGAUAAUAAUCCUGAAGCUGCAGCCACGACGUUGGAUCGGGUGCUGAGGCUGCUUGUCAGCUACAACGCUCUCCAUUGCUCUUUUGUCGAUUGACAAAGGCUCUACUCUCUUGCUCCUGUUUCAGCAUACUUUGUUCGCAAUAAUCUCUAUUCUUUCGGAAAGAUAUGGGAUUAAUUCGACAAUUUCGGAAAUGCCUGGGAAUAAUGCAGCUUCAAGGGAAAUCUCUAUUUUGGAUACGGUUUUGUUAGUCCAACUUCCUCAUGGAAGAGAGCAGACCAAACAAGAGUACAUUGAAUUGGCAGUCAAAGCUGGAUUUAAAGGUGUCAACUAUGAUUAUGGUGCGUGCAAUUUAUAUGUUAUGGAAUUCUUCAAAUAAAUUGCAUACUUAAUUUCAUUUUGGAAAGAUCUUCUCAACCCUUGGGGAGUUUCCAAUUUCCUAUUUGUGUUAAUUAUUUUCUCUUUUGCUUGGCCUUGGGGCUUGUCUUAUGUACUUUCUUUCAUCUUAUGAAAAUAAUACGUCUCUUAGAAAGAGAUUGAUGGCUGUAUGUGGUACUCCUUAUGUAAUCUUUUUCAGUUCAUACGUUCAGCAUGUGAUUUUUGGUUUAUUAUUGAGGCAAAAAACAAGUAUUUUUAUCUUACCUUACUAUUAUUAUUAUUUUUUUGUUCAUUUCAAAGUUGAAAAAAUCAGUAAUGUAUAACUUUUUUAUCAUUUAAAGUAAGAACAUUUGACUUUUGAAAGAGUAGUUAUAGAGAACUCAUUCUAUGCCAUCUCAACCUCACACAAGAGUAAUUAAAACUAGAGCUAAUGUUAAAGUAGUUCUAAAUUUUGAAUUCAUUACAAACUUAUCCUAAAAAUUUGCCUUAGUGGAGUUUAUGUGUGGUACUGGUGUUUAUUUCAUUUUUAUUUCUAAAAACAUAGUAAAUUAAGUGCACCACUAAGUGAACCAGAUGAAGACUGAAAAUUAUUAAAAAUGGAUUGUGGAGAUUUGGUUUUUCAUCAAACAACUACUAAGAGCUAAUAUUGCUCAAUGGAAGAAGAAAAAAGAAAAAAAAAUCUGAAUAUUAUGAUUAUCUUUGAAAGGUACAAAGUGAAUAGAGAAAAAAAAAAGAAAAAAUUUUGAGUUCCUUUAUUGGACGAGUAUUUUGAUUAGGAGAAAUUUUAUAAUGUUGUAAUUAAAAUGAUGGUAUUAAUGCUGUGAUAAAUAUGAAUUUUGUAAAUUACGCAUAAGACUAGUAAAUGAAAAGUAAAAUAAGUAAAUUAAUAUAAGAAUGGUAAAUUGGCGUCUUAAAACUACAAACUAAACAAAUGCUUAUAAAAAUAACAUAAAACUUGUAAAUCAACAUUAAACUUUAAUUAAAAAAUAAUUUAUUCAUUUAAUUUACAUAAAUGAUGAAAAAAUCACUCAUCAAUUGAAAAAAUAUAUAUAUUUAAAACAAUUGUAAUAAGUUUUAUUGUAUUGUUUAACUAUAUGUUCUAUAUUCAUUCUUGGACAUUAAAAAAAUGAAUCUUUUAAAAAAAAUGAAUCUUUUUCUAUCUAUAGUAUUUGAUACUACACAUGUUAAUUAAGCAAAAAUUAUUUUUUUUGACGUGAAUCAAGCAAAAAAAAAAAAGAUUUUCUUAUAUUACUAGAUGUACAUGAUAUAUCAAUAAAAUUGGAUCUAAUUUUUAGUGCUAUAUAUACUUCAUGUAAUUUUAAACUAUGUUUCUUAUUGUACUUAAAGAUCAUUUGGGUUUACGGUCAAGGAGGCUUAAAAGGAUACAACAUCACCUUAUUUUACAAACAGUGAGGUUUGAAAGUCUAACUUUCAGGAUAUGUUUAUCAUUCUUAUAUUACUAGAUGUACAUGACAUAUCAAUAAAAUUGGAUCUAAUUUUUAGUGUUAUAUAUAUUUCAUGUAAUUUUAAACUAUGUUUCUUAUUGUACUUAAAGAUCAUUUGGGUUUACGGUCAGGGAGGCUUAAAAGGAUACAACAUCACCUUAUUUUACAAACGGUGAUGUUUGAAAGUCUAACUUUCAGGAUAUGUUUAUCAUUCUUAUAUUACUAGAUGUACAUGACAUAUCAAUAAAAUUGGAUCUAAUUUUUAGUGUUAUAUAUAUUUCAUGUAAUUUUAAACUAUGUUUCUUAUUGUACUUAAAGAUCAUUUGGGUUUACGGUCAAGGAGGCUUAAAAGCAUACAACAUCACCUUAUUUUACAAGCAGUGAGGUUUGAAUGUCUAACUUUCAGGAUAGGUUUAUCAUUAAUAAAAUUUCACAUAUGUCAUCACAUAUAUUAUACAACCUCAUAAUGUGACAAUUAGCUUAUAUAUUUACUAAUUUUGAUUCUAAAUUGAGUUUAGAAUCAAAAUUAUGAGCUAAUAGUCACAUUAUGAGUUUUUAUUUUAUAUUUGUAAGUUUUUAUUUUUACAUUAAGGUACUUGUUUUACCUUCUAUUUACAAGUAUUACAUUCUAUUUACAUCAUUUUUAUUUUAUUUUAUGAUUAAUGUUGAUUUACCACUUCUAUGUUACAUGUAUAAGUUUUUAUUUUGUUUAUCAAUAAUAUAAUGAUUUAUCACUUUUAUGUUAAUUUAUUUGUUUUACCUUCUAUUUACAAGUUUUAUGUCCCAUUUACUUUUUUAUGUUUUAUUUACACUUUAAUGUUAAUUUACAAAUUUUAUAUUAUAUGUAUAAGUUUUUGUUUUAUUUACUAAUGAUACACCAAUUAACUACUCCUAUAUUAGUUUACUUAUUUUACCUUCUAUUUACAAAUCUUGUAUUCUAUUUAACACAAAUGUUGGCAUGAGAUUCCUGACAUAUUUCUAAAAUCAAAAUAAGAUGCAUAGAGGACGAUAAUUUUAUUUCAUAAUUAAAAUUUUUGCAAAGAAAGUUUGAAUACGAGAGGGGUGAGAGAUGAGAAUAUUGACGAUGGUGUGUACUUUGGAUGGAAAAAUAGAUUGGAAAUAUAUAUAGACAAAUUAAAAGAAAAAAAAAUCUGGUAUAUGCCUCAAGAAAAAUAAAAAAUUAUAAAUGCAGGCGAUAAAAUGUAUUUAUAAUUUAUAAUUUUUUAUAAAUAUGAUAAUCAUUAGACCCUUAUAAAAGUAUAGCAAAAAGUUUAAAUUUUUUUAAUAAAUGUAGAAGAGGUGGACGAAGAAACCAGCCACCAGUUCAGAAUUUUUUUUUUUGAAUACUGAUUAAUCAUCAUAUUACUGCAUUACACAGAUAUUUACAACUGCUAUUAUAGUAGAUAUAUUACACUGAUAUUUACAAUCAGAAAUACAUGAUUGGAACUUAUAUUAUUACAUUGAAUUCUGUGAAGUACAUGCCCAGAUAAAUAAUCCCUUACAGAAGAGGGAUGUCCAUACUCCACUCGUAUUGCACGAGGGAGAGGAAAUUUUUUGAAAUAUUAAAUAAAUAAGCACGUUAGUCCCCACAAAUACUUUUGUGGAGGCUUGAACCACUGCCCUCACAAUGCUUGUGAGGGCAGCAGCCCACCACUCCGACCAGUUCAGAAUUAACAAUAAAAGAUAUGAAGACUUGAUCGAAGAAAUGUGAAAAAUAAAAGGACACUGGGUUGGUUAGCGGGACCCUAAUUUAAUGGUAAAAAAUAAAAGGACACUGGGUUGCUAUCAAUUUCUACGGUGUGGUACGUUCAUAGCCGGGGAAGUAAUUACAUUAGCGGGACCCUAACAUAAAUAAAAGGACACUGGGUUGGUUAGCGGGACCCUAAUAUUAAUGGUAAAAAAUAAAAGAAAACUGAGUUGCUAUCAAUUUCCACGGUGUAGGUUCAUAGCCGGGGAAGUAAUUAUAUUAGCGGGACCCUAAUAUUAAUGGAGACCUAAUAUUAAUGAUAAAAAAUAAAAGGACACUGGGUUACAAUCAAUUUCUACAGAGUGGGUUCAUAGCCGGAGAAGUAAUUGGGCACAAAUAUCAUGGUGAACACGGAUGAGAAAUAACCAUUUUAUCCCCGCAACUUUAUGUUUAUGGCCUCUAAAAAUUUUCACCUCUUUCACUUCUGGAACCCGCGCUUUCUGGCACAUGCACAAUACUUGGUUGCGACUUAUAGAGAGUUUUAGAAUUGCAACGACAUGGUGCUCUUUGAUAAUUCAAAAAUCCAAUAGAAUUUAUAGAGAAUUACAGAAUUGUGGUACGUGAUAAUUUGCUGAUGCAGUGAGGGGCCGAAAUUCUUGUACAUGUGAUUAAGUUAUAGAUGUAUAAUUAAGUAAUUAGCAAGCACUAAUUGGGGGUAUUUGUGUCCAUGAAAAUUUACAGUUGGUUGUUGACAUUAUACUGUGGGUGCGUAAGUGCAAUCACGAUCUGACCAUUCAAAUUAAAAAAUGGGGGUCCCACUAAUUAUAAAGUUUGUAAUUAUCACAUAUACAGAUAUGGUCGCAUAUGAAAAUCUUAUCAUAAAUUGAAUGGAUUCGAUGACUUAAUUGAAGUUAUGAACGGAUAUUUAAAUAAAAGAAAAUUUAUAAUAAAGAAAAGUAUUAAUUUGUUGUGAAUGUAACUUAUAUAAGCUGUAAGUUAGCGGGACUCUUCAAAUAAUUCUAAUAUUUUGAUUUUUAAUUCUUAUAUUUAAAAAAAUAUCUUUUGUAGUUAAAUAUAUUUUUUUUUUAUCCUUACUUUUACUUUACUUUUAUAAUAAUAGCCUUCUAAUUUUUUUUAACAUUAAUUAAGUUAUUUAUAAAAUUUUAAUUAUAAAAUUUACUAAUAAUUAUUUAUUAAUAAAUUAACUAAUAAAUAUCAGUAUGAAAGAACUAAUAUUUUUUUUAACCCAUGCAAUAAUCUUGCAAAUAAUUUUUUUAUAAAUAAAAAUUAAUAUCAACUAACUUAAAGUGGUGUUUAAUAUCCUUACAAUAAUUAUAUUAAUAUUAAUUUAUAAAAAAUUAAUUUACUAAAUUAAUCUUAAAACUAAAUUAAUAACAUAAAAAUUUAUAAAACUAAUUAUUUUACUUUUCAUCGGCUGCAAUUUGUUGAAACUUGGGUGAAGACAAAUUGAGAUCUUAGAAAUCUCCAAUGAGAUAAUAAAAUAUAAUAUAUAUGUUAGGUCUUUGUUUUUUUUUUUUUUUUUGGUUUAAACCACCCGAUUUCCGACGACCGCAUUGGGCCCCGACUAAUUCGGAUUCGGGAUGUAGUCACAGUUAAGGCUCUUUACCCCUCCCAAAUGGUGUGUUUAGUAGGGAUCGAACCCGAGAGCUCUUUCCACUUACCCAACCUGCGUCGCCAACUGAACCACAACCGUUUGAUUAGGUCUUUGUUCUUUAGAGAAUAGAUCCUAUUGAAAUUUGAACACGAAUAUCGAUUACUCACAAAUAAAAUAAAUUUGCUGAGGCGGCUCGACUAAGACGUACGGGCAGCAUAAUUAAGUCCUCAUAACUCUCAAGUGCAGGCAUCAAAAAAUCAAAACUGAGAAUGACUGGUGAUAUAUAUAUAUAUAUAUAUAGACACCUCAAGCAAUUAAGAAAGAAGCAAAUUAUAAUCAUGGCUUCUAUAGCUGAUCAGGAAGAAGAGACAAAUAAUUUCUCACAUGCAAUGGGACUUGCAAGUGCAAUAGUGCUACCUGCAGUUAUGCAAGCAGUGGUAGAGCUUGAUGUGUUUGAGAUCAUAAGUUAUGAACGGAUAUUUAAAUAAAAGAAAAUUUAUAAUAAAGAAAAGUAUUAAUUUGUUGUGAAUGUAACUUAUAUAAGCUGUAAGUUAGCGGGACUCUUCAAAUAAUUCUAAUAUUUUGAUUUUUAAUUCUUAUAUUUAAAAAAAUAUCUUCUGUAGUUAAAUAUAUUUUAUUUUUAUCCUUACUUUUACUUUACUUUACUUUUAUAAUAAUAGCCUUCUAAAAUUUUUUUAACAUUAAUUAAGUUAUUUAUAAAAUUUUAAUUAUAAAAUUAACUAAUAAAUAUCAGUACGAAAGAAUUAAUAUUUUUUUAACCCAUACAAUAAUCUUGCAAAUAAUUUUUUUAUAAAUAAAAAUUAAUAUCAACUAACUUAAAGUGGUGUUUAAUAUCCUUACAAUAAUUAUAUUAAUAUUUAUUUAUAAAAAAUUAAUUUACCAAAUUAAUCUUAAAACUAAAUUAAUAACAUAAAAAUUUAUAAAACUAAUUAUUUUACUUUUCAUCGGCUGCAAUUUGUUGAAACUUGGGUGAAGACAAAUUGAGAUCUUAGAAAUCUCCAAUGAGAUAAUAAAAUAUAAUAUAUAUGUUAGGUCUUUGUUCUUUAGAGAAUAGGAGUCAUCAUAUAGUACCGCGCUGUAUGUAAUACAGCUGCUUCAACAGUGAAAAAAAAACUUGAACAAUCGGUAUUUUACCGGUUGUUCAUCUAAUAAUUUUUAAAAAAUUUAUUUUUAAUGUGAAAAAAAUAAGGAAAUUUAUAAACAAUUAAUAUUAAAAAGAUUUGAGUAAGAAAAAUAUUUUUAAUUUAAAAAAAAGUUAAAAAAAGAGUAAAAUAAUCAUGUUCCAAUUUUUUUGGUUAAAUAUCAAUAUAUUAGGUGGACGUUUCAAAUUAAUUUCACAUGUCCCUAAUUUUCUUUAAACUUUCUCAAUAAUUGGUUUAUUUGUUUCCACUUCUCAAUCCACUAGUUUUAUGUAUAAUAUUCCUACUAAAUUCGUUAAAUACAAUUUUUUUAGGUUAAAUUCCAAGUAAAUUCAUUUCUCGUUAAAUAAGUUCCUAAAUUUGGUUACACUUUCUCCCUUUUUGGUUUAUAUGUUUCAACUAUUAUUUCACAAAUUUUACGUUCAAUAUUCCAAUUCGCUUGGUAAGAUUUCAUUUAUUUGGGUUAAAUACCGAAAUAAUUUUUUUUGUUAAAUUAGUUCCCAAUUUUGGUUAAGCUUUUUAAUAUUUAAGUUCACAUGUUUCAAAUUAUCAGUCCACUAGUUUUGUGUUAGGUAUUCCUACUAAGUUCGAUCAAUACCAAUAUUUUGGGUUAGAUUCCAAGUAAUUUUCAUUUCCCGUUGGAUGAGUUCCUAAUUUUCGUUAGAUUUUCUCGCUUAUUGGUUCAAAUGUUUCAUCUAAUUAUUCCUCUAGUUUUGUGUUGAAUAUUCCCAUUAACUUAGAUAGAUUCCAAUUAUUUGGGUUAAGUACCGAAUUUAUUUUUCGUAAUUUUAUUUUUGGUUAAGUAUGUUCCUAAUUUUGGUUACACUUUCUUCCUUGUGGGUUUAUACGUUUCAAUUAUUAUUCCACUAGUUUUGUGUUCAAUAUUCCAAUUAAUUUGAUAAGAUUUCAUUUAUUUGGGUUAAAUACCGAAAUAAUUUUUUUUGUUAAAUUAGUUCCCAAUUUUGGUUAAGCUUUUUAAUAUUUAGGUUCACAUGUUUUAAAUUAUUAGUCCACUAGUUUUGUGUUAGGUAUUCCUACUAAGUUCGUUCAAUACCAAUAUUUUGGGUUAGAUUUCAAGUAAUUUUCAUUUCCCGUUGGAUGAGUUCCUAAUUUUCGUUAGAUUUUCUCGCUUAUUGGUUCAAAUGUUUCAUCUAAUUAUUCCUCUAGUUUUGUGUUGAAUAUUCCCAUUAACUUGAACAUAUUCCAAUUAUUUGGGUUAAGUACCGAAUUUAUUUUUCGUAAUUUUAUUUUUGGUUAAAUAAGUCCCUAAUUUUAGUUAUAUUUUCUCCUUUGUGGGGUUAUAUGUUUCAAUUAUAAUUUCACUAGUUUUGUGUUCAAUAUUCCAAUUAACUUGGUAAGAUUUCAUUUAUUUGGAUUAAAUACCGAAAUAAAUUUUUUUGGUUAAAUUAGUUCCCAAAUUUGCUUAAGCUUUUUCAUAUUUAGGUUCGUAUGUUUCAAAUUAUUAGUCCACUAGUUUUAUGUUAGGUAUUCCUACUAAGUUCGUUCAAUACCAAUAUUUUGGGUUAGAUUCCAAGUAAUUUUCAUUUCCCGUUGGAUAAGUUCCUAAUUUUCAUUAGAUUUUCUCACUUAUUGGUUCAAAUAUUUCAUCUAAUUAUUCCUCUAGUUUUGUGUUGAAUAUUCUCAUUAACUUGGACAAAUUCCAAUUAUUUGGGUUAAGUACCGAAUUUAUUUUUCGUAAUUUUAUUUUUGGUUAAGUAGGUUCCUAAUUUGGGUUAUAUUUUCUCAUAUUUACUUUUAUAUGUUUCAACUAUUAUUUCACUAAUUUUGCGUUUAAUAUUCCAAUUAAUUUGGUGAAAUUUCAGUUAUUUAUGUUAAAUAUCAAAAUUACUUGUAUUACCGGAAACAAUAAUUUUAAUAAGUUGAAUUAUGUUUGAACCCUUACUAUUUUAUAAAAUAUCAACUUACCAUAUAAUACUGAAAAACAUUUAUUGUAACCCUUAAUCUUUUCCAAUAUUUUGGGUCCUUAACCUAGUUCCCUUUUAUAUAUAUCAUGAGAUCUCUUGAACUUGAUUGUAUAUAUAAUUGAGCUUUUAGUCUCUAUACAUAUUUAUUCUCAUUUUAUCAUUUUAGUUGAUUAUUUUUAGUUAUUGUUAAAAUAAAUUAAUGCAUUUAUUUUCAUCUCUCUCUUUACUUUUUAAAAUAAUUUCUUUAAUUUUUCAAAACUUCGACAGUAAAUAAAAAAUAACAUGUAAGAGCGCAUGCAAUUGCUAUGCUUCUCCAAAAAAUUAUUUUUAAAAAUUAUGAUGGCAUAAGUUAUAAAAAAAUAUUUAAGCUAACAAAACUUGAAACUUUCUUAAUCUAUUUGUGUUGAAUUUUCUUUUUUUCUUUUUUUGGGAUCAAUUGACUUCAGGAGAUUUCUUGAACUUGAAAUUAUUUAUACUUAACUUUUUAUCUUUAUAAAUGUUAUGCCCAUUUUAUAAUUCAAUUAAUUAUAUUUAUUUAUCUUUAAACUAAAAUAAAUCAAGAAUUAAGAUUUUUUUAAUUCAAAUUAAAUUUUUACCACUGUUUUCUUUUCAAAUUCUUUUUCUUAAUUUCUUAUUACUUCAACCAAAAAUUUAUGCUAUUAAUUAUAAAGAUUAAUAUAUUAUACUUGUAUUAUUAUCACUAUUAUUAUUUUUUUACUCUUACUAAAAUUAUUAUUAUUACUAUCUUGCCCCAUGAGAUUUGUUGACAAUUUUUUUUAAAUAAUGAGUAUCCUUCUUUUCGUUUUUAAGUAUGGAUAUAAUUUUUAAUUUAUAAAAUAAGUUCUUAAAUUUUCAAGACUUAACUAAAAUAAUUUUUAAGAGUUUAUUAUGACUAAUAUGGUUAUGAACAUUUAUUACUAUAGUAGCAACACUUUAUACCAUACCAUUUCAUAUUUAUUACUAUACCAAAAUUUGUUUAUUUAUUUUAUGAUUAUCCCAUGAACUGUGAAAAUUAACUUUUAUAUUAAAAUUGAAAAAUUUGUAAAUUUGUAUUACAUUGAUCCAAUUCUACUAAGCCACAAUUUAUUUAUCUUUAAUUAAUGCUUUAAACACAGUAAACGCAAUUCAAAUUCAACAAUAUUUUGUAAAAUAAAAAAAUAAAAAAAAAAUCAAUGCAAUCAAGAAAGAAGAAAAUAUAUACAUAUACAUAUACAAACACACACACACACACACACACACACACAUAUAUAUAUGUAUGUAUGUAUGUUUAUAUAUGUAUAUAUUUUGUUGAUAUAAAAUUAAUUAUUUACAACUAUAUUAAUAAUUUAAUAUAGAUGAGAUAAACUACUAUGUAAAUAUAUUAAUAAUCAAAUUAUGGCUAUCAGUUAAUUUAGUUGUAAAUCAUUUGAAUUCAAAACAAAACAGUUAAGGUUUGAAUCUAUGGGCGCAAAUUUAGUUGUUAUUAAGCUAUAUUGAAAAAAAAUCAUAUUCAAAUUCAAUUCCUUUUACCAUUACAAUAAAAUUAUAUAUAUAUAAUUUAGAUCCUAUUGAAAUUUGAACACGAAUAUCGAUUACUCACAAAUAAAACAAAUUUGCUGAGGCGGCUCGACUAAGACGUACGGGCAGCAUAAUUAAGUCCUCAUAACUCUCAAGUGCAGGCAUCAAAAAAUCAAAACUGAGAAUGACUGGUGAUAUAUAUAUAUAUAUAUAUAUAUAGACACCUCAAUCAAUUAAGAAAGAAGCAAAUUAUAAUCAUGGCUUCUAUAGCUGAUCAGGAAGAAGAGACAAAUAAUUUCUCACAUGCAAUGGGACUUGCAAGUGCAAUAGUGCUACCUGCAGUUAUGCAAGCAGUGGUAGAGCUUGAUGUGUUUGAGAUCAUAAGCAAAGCCGGUCCUGGUGCUAAGCUUUCGGUUGCGGAGAUUGUGGCUCAAAUUCCCUUAAAAGAUAAUAAUCCUGAAGCUGCAGCCACGACGUUGGAUCGGGUGCUGAGGCUGCUUGUCAGCUACAACGCUCUUCAUUGCUCUUUUGUCGAUGGACAAAGGCUCUACUCUCUUGCUCCUGUUUCUAAACACUUUGUUCGCAACAAUCGAGACGGCGUGUCGUUGCGUCCCUACAUGGCCUUGUGUCUCGACAAGAUCUGCUUGGAUGGCUGGUACAUAGAACUGCUUCUUUUCUUUACCGUUUCAGUAAAUCGAUCAUUUUCAUUCUCAUGAUUUAAAAUCGAUUAAACUCUGUUAAAAAGAUAUUUAAUUUUCAGUUAGUUUACCAUUAAUGUUAUAAAUGACACAAAAAGUAGAAAGUUAAUGAUUUCUUUUUUUUUUUAAUGACGGAGGAUUCUCAAAUAUGAAAACAAAAAUGAUUGAUUUUAACGAACAACAACGUUUUUUUUUUCGUUUCUCGACAAAAAUUAGUUUUUCGAAUUUCAAGGUUAAUUGUGUGGUCUAAUUUUUGAAUCACCAGCACCAAACCAAGCUUCUGAAAUAGUUACUAACUGUGUUUGGAUUUUGAUAAAUUCAGGUUUGGAUUGAAAAAGCAAAUUCUUGAAGGAGGAAUUGCGUUUAAUAAAGCGCACGGAAUGCAAAUCUAUGAUUACUUAGGCGUCGACUCAAGGUUCAAUGAUGUUUUCAACAAUGGAAUGUUAAGCCACACUUCUAUUGUCAUGGAGAAGGUCCUAGAAUCAUACAAAGGCUUUGAGCAUGUUAAAAAGCUUGUGGAUGUUGGCGGUGGCUUGGGGAUCACUCUUAAUAUGAUAAUUUCAAAAUAUCCUCAUAUUAAGGGUAUUAAUUAUGACUUACCUUAUGUCAUUAAAGAUGCCCCAUCUUAUUCAGGUACUUUAUUUAUAAAAUUUGUAUAGUAUUUUUGUUAAUGAUUCAUCGAUGUUACACUAGCUAACAAAAGUUAGUUUAUUUAAAUUUCAGGGAUAAAACAUAUAGGUGGAGAUUUGUUCAAAAGUAUUCCUGAGGCAGAUACUAUUUUUAUGAAGGUUUAUAUUUUUUUAUAUCACUUGAAAUCAUCAUAAGGAAAAAUUAAAUAGAGAGAAUGACACUUUUCUCCCUAUUGUUUUUGAGUUAAGAUGUAUCCUAACCCUGUUGCUCACUUGGUAUUAGAACUUUGAUAGAAAAAUUCAAAGGGAUAAUAGGAUAUUAUGAAAACUAUUAAAAGAAAAAAAAUGGUGAAACUCAAAACUAUAUAUACAAGGAAAGUGUCAACAACUCUCUUUUUUUCUUCAAUGGUAAAAUGGGUGGGCAAAGCCCAAAUUAACUAAUUAUUGAUCCCAUAUCUCCCUUGAGUUCAAACUUGGGUGACAGUUAAAUAAAAUUGAUUGAAAACAAUUCGAUCAGGCACCUCGGGUGGAAAAUAUCAAUCUCUCUUCUUUAUGAAUGCUUUGUUCAAUCACAUAAAUUGAUCAUAGAUAUCCGGAUAGAACAAAUGAGAAUUAAUAUGAAUACAUGGAACUUUUGCAGUGGAUGCUUCAUAGUUUUGAUGAUGAACAAGCCUUGAAAGUGUUGAAGAAUUGUUAUAAAGCUCUUCCAUAUGGUGGGAAGCUGCUUAAUAUUAAUUCGACAAUUUCGGAAAUGCCUGGGAAUAAUGUAGCUUCAAGGGAAAUCUCUAUUUUGGAUACGGUUUUGUUAGUCCAACUUCCUCAUGGAAGAGAGCGGACCAAACAAGAGUACACUGAAUUGGCAGUCAAAGCUGGAUUUAAAGGUGUCAACUAUGAUUAUGGUGCGUGCAAUUUAUAUGUUAUGGAAUUCUUCAAAUAAAUUGCAUACUUAAUUUCAUUUUGGAAAGAUCUUCUCAACCCUUGGGGAGUUUCCAAUUUCCUAUUUGUGUUAAUUAUUUUCUCUUUUGCUUGGCCUUGGGGCUUGUCUUAUGUACUUUCUUUCAUCUUAUGAAAAUAAUACGUCUCUUAGAAAGAGAUUGAUGGCUGUAUUUGGUACUUCUUAUGUAAUCUUUUUCAGUUCAUACAUUCAGCAUGUGAUUUUUGGUUUAUUAUUGAGGCAAAAAAGAAGUAUUUUUAUCUUGCCUUACUAUUAUUAUUAUUUUUUUGUUCAUUUCAAAGUUGAAAAAAUCAGUAAUGUAUAACUUUUUUAUCAUUUAAAGUAAGAACAUUUGACUUUUGAAAGAGUAGUUAUAGAGAACUCAUUCUAUGCCAUCUCAACCUCACACAAGAGUAAUUAAAACUAGAGCUAAUGUUAAAGUAGUUCUAAAUUUUGAAUUCAUUACAAACUUAUCCUAAAAAUUUGCCUUAGUGGAGUUUAUGUGUGGUACUGGUGUUUAUUUCAUUUUUAUUUCUAAAAACAUAGUAAAUUAAGUGCACCACUAAGUGAACCAGAUGAAGACUGAAAAUUAUUGAAAAAUGGAUUGUGGAGAUUUGGUUUUUCAUCAAACAACUACUAAGAGCUAAUAUUGCUCGAUGGAAAAAGAAAAAAAAUCUGAAUAUUAUGAUUAUCUUUGAAAGGUACAUAGUGAAUAGAGAAAAAAAAAAGAAAAAAAUUUGAGUUCCUUUAUUGGACGAGUAUUUUGAUUAGGAGAAAUUUUAUAAUGUUGUAAUUAAAAUGAUGGUAUCAAUGCCGUGAUAAAUAUGAAUUUUGUAAAUUACGCAUAAGACUGGUAAAUGAAAAGUAAAAUAAGUAAAUUAAUAUAAGAGUGGUAAAUUGGCGUCUUAAAACUACAAACUAAACAAAUAUUUAUAAAAAUAACAUAAAACUUGUAAAUCAACAUUAAACUUUAAUUAAAAAAAUAAUUUAUUCAUUUAAUUUACAUAAAUGAUGAAAAAAUCACUCAUCAAUUGAAAAAAUAUAUAUUUAAAACAAUUGCAAUAAGUUUUAUUGUAUUGGUUUAACUAUAUAUUCUAUAUUCAUUCUUCGACAUAAAAAAAAAUGAAUCUUUUAAAAAAAAAUGAAUCUUUUUCUAUCUAUAGUAUUUGAUACUACACAUGUUAAUUAAGCAAAAAUUUUUUUUUUUUUACGUGAAUCAAGCAAAAAAAAAAAAGAUUUUCUUAUAUUACUAGAUGUACAUGAUAUAUCAAUAAAAUUGGAUCUAAUUUUUAGUGCUAUAUAUACUUCAUGUAAUUUUAAACUAUGUUUCUUAUUGUACUUAAAGAUUAUUUGGGUUUACGGUCAAGGAGGCUUAAAAGGAUAUAACAUCACCUUAUUUUACAAGCAGUGAGGUUUGAAAGUCUAACUUUCAGGAUAUGUUUAUCAUUCUUAUAUUACUAGAUGUACAUGACAUAUCAAUAAAAUUGGAUCUAAUUUUUAGUGUUAUACAUAUUUCAUGUAAUUUUAAACUAUGUUUCUUAUUGUACUUAAAGAUCAUUUGGGUUUACGGUCAAGGAAGCUUAAAAGCAUACAACAUCACCUUAUGUUACAAGCAGUGAGGUUUGAAAGUCUAACUUUCAGGAUAGAUUUAUCAUUAAUAAAAUUUCACAUAUGUCAUCACAUAUAUUAUACAACCUCAUAAUGUGACAAUUAGCUUAUAUAUUUACUAAUUUUGAUUCUAAAUUGAGUUUAGAAUCAAAAUUAUGAGCUAAUAGUCACAUUAUGAGUUUUUAUUUUAUAUUUGUAAGUUUUUAUUUUUUUAAUAACUCUUAUAUUAAGGUACUUGUUUUACCUUCUAUUUACAAGUAUUACAUUCUAUUUAUAUCAUUUAUAUUUUAUUUUAUGAUUAAUGUGGAUUUACCACUUCUAUGUUACAUGUAUAAGUUUUAUUUUAUUUAUCAAUAAUAUAAUGAUUUAUCACUUUUAGGUUAAUUUAUUUGUUUUACCUUCUAUUUACAAGUUUUAUGUCCCAUUUACUUUUUUAUGUUUUAUUUACACUUUAAUGUUAAUUUACAAGUUUUAUACUAUAUGAAUAAGUUUUUGUUUUAUUUACUAAUGAUACACCAAUUAACUACUCCUAUAUUAGUUUACUUAUUUUACCUUCUAUUUACAAAUCUUGUAUUCUAUUUAACACAAAUGUUGGCAUGAGAUUCCUGACAUAUUUCUAAAAUCAAAAUAAGAUGCAUAGAGGACAAUAAUUUUAUUUCAUAAUUAAAAUUUUUGUAAAGAAAGUUUGAAUAUGAGAGGGGUGAGAGAUGAGAAUAUUGACGAUGGUGUGUACUUUGGAUGGAAAAAUAGAUUGAAAAUAUAUAUAGACAUAUUAAAAGAAAAAAAUAUGAUCUAUACCUCAAGAGAAAUAAGAAAUUAUAAAUGCAGGUGGUCAAAUGUAUUUAUAAUUUAUAAUUUUUUAUAAAUAUGAUAAUCAUUAGACCAAUAUAAAAGUCUAGCAAAAAGUUUAAAUUUUUUUAAUAAAUGUAGAAGAGAUGGACGAAGAAACCAGCCAACAGUUCAGAAUUAACAAUUAAAGAUAUGAGGACUUGAUCGAAGAAAUGUGAAAAAUAAAAGGACACUGGGUUGGUUAGCGGGACCCUAAUUUAAUGGUAAAAAAUAAAAGGACACUGGGUUGCUAUCAAUUUCUACGGUGUGGUACGUUCAUAGCCGGGGAAGUAAUUGUAUUAGCGGGACCCUAACAUUAAUAAAAGGACACUGGGUUGUUUAGCGGGACCCUAAUAUUAAUGGUAAAAAAUAAAAGGAAACUGAGUUGGUAUCAAUUUCUACGGUGUAGGUUCAUAGCCGGGGAAGUAAUUAUAUUAGCGGGACCCUAAUAUUAAUGGAGACCUAAUAUUAAUGAUAAAAAAUAAAAGGACACUGGGUUACAAUCAAUUUCUACAGAGUGGGUUCAUAGCCGGAGAAGUAAUUGGGCACAAAUAUCAUGGUGAACACGGAUGAGAAAUAACCAUUUUAUCCCCGCAACUUUAUGUUUAUGGCCUCUAAAAAUUUUCACCUCUUUCACUUCUGGAACCCGCGCUUUCUGGCACAUGCACAAUACUUGGUUGCGACUUAUAGAGAGUUUUAGAAUUGCAACGACAUGGUGCUCUUUGAUAAUUCAAAAAUCCAAUAGAAUUUAUAGAGAAUUACAGAAUUGUGGUACGUGAUAAUUUGCUGAUGCAGUGAGGGGCCGAAAUUCUUGUACAUGUGAUUAAGUUAUAGAUGUAUAAUUAAGUAAUUAGCAAGCACUAAUUGGGGGUAUUUGUGUCCAUGAAAAUUUACAGUUGGUUGUUGACAUUAUACUGUGGGUGCGUAAGUGCAAUCACGAUCUGACCAUUCAAAUUAAAAAAUGGGGGUCCCACUAAUUAUAAAGUUUGUAAUUAUCACAUAUACAGAUAUGGUCGCAUAUGAAAAUCUUAUCAUAAAUUGAAUGGAUUCGAUGACUUAAUUGAAGUUAUGAACGGAUAUUUAAAUAAAAGAAAAUUUAUAAUAAAGAAAAGUAUUAAUUUGUUGUGAAUGUAACUUAUAUAAGCUGUAAGUUAGCGGGACUCUUCAAAUAAUUCUAAUAUUUUGAUUUUUAAUUCUUAUAUUUAAAAAAAUAUCUUUUGUAGUUAAAUAUAUUUUUUUUUUAUCCUUACUUUUACUUUACUUUUAUAAUAAUAGCCUUCUAAUUUUUUUUAACAUUAAUUAAGUUAUUUAUAAAAUUUUAAUUAUAAAAUUUACUAAUAAUUAUUUAUUAAUAAAUUAACUAAUAAAUAUCAGUAUGAAAGAACUAAUAUUUUUUUAACCCAUGCAAUAAUCUUGCAAAUAAUUUUUUUAUAAAUAAAAAUUAAUAUCAACUAACUUAAAGUGGUGUUUAAUAUCCUUACAAUAAUUAUAUUAAUAUUAAUUUAUAAAAAAUUAAUUUACUAAAUUAAUCUUAAAACUAAAUUAAUAACAUAAAAAUUUAUAAAACUAAUUAUUUUACUUUUCAUCGGCUGCAAUUUGUUGAAACUUGGGUGAAGACAAAUUGAGAUCUUAGAAAUCUCCAAUGAGAUAAUAAAAUAUAAUAUAUAUGUUAGGUCUUUGUUUUUUUUUUUUUUUUUUGGUUUAAACCACCCGAUUUCCGACGACCGCAUUGGGCCCCGACUAAUUCGGAUUCGGGGUGUAGUCACAGUUAAGGCUCUUUACCCCUCCCAAAUGGUGUGUUUAGUAGGGAUCAAACCCGAGAGCUCUUUCCACUUACCCAACCUGCGUCGCCAACUGAACCACAACCGUUUGAUUAGGUCUUUGUUCUUUAGAGAAUAGAUCCUAUUGAAAUUUGAACACGAAUAUCGAUUACUCACAAAUAAAAUAAAUUUGCUGAGGCGGCUCGACUAAGACGUACGGGCAGCAUAAUUAAGUCCUCAUAACUCUCAAGUGCAGGCAUCAAAAAAUCAAAACUGAGAAUGACUGGUGAUAUAUAUAUAUAUAUAUAUAGACACCUCAAGCAAUUAAGAAAGAAGCAAAUUAUAAUCAUGGCUUCUAUAGCUGAUCAGGAAGAAGAGACAAAUAAUUUCUCACAUGCAAUGGGACUUGCAAGUGCAAUAGUGCUACCUGCAGUUAUGCAAGCAGUGGUAGAGCUUGAUGUGUUUGAGAUCAUAAGCAAAGCCGGUCCUGGUGCUAAGCUUUCGGUUGCGGAGAUUGUGGCUCAAAUUCCCUUAAAAGAUAAUAAUCCUGAAGCUGCAGCCACGACGUUGGAUCGGGUGCUGAGGCUGCUUGUCAGCUACAACGCUCUUCAUUGCUCUUUUGUCGAUGGACAAAGGCUCUACUCUCUUGCUCCUGUUUCUAAACACUUUGUUCGCAACAAUCGAGACGGCGUGUCGUUGCGUCCCUACAUGGCCUUGUGUCUCGACAAGAUCUGCUUGGAUGGCUGGUACAUAGAACUGCUUCUUUUCUUUACCGUUUCAGUAAAUCGAUCAUUUUCAUUCUCAUGAUUUAAAAUCGAUUAAACUCUGUUAAAAAGAUAUUUAAUUUUCAGUUAAUUUACCUUUAAUGUUAUAAAUGACACAAAAAGUUGAAAGUUAAUAAUUUCUUUUUUUUUUAAUGACGGAGGAUUCUCAAAUAUGAAAACAAAAAUGAUUGAUUUUAACGAACAACAACGUUUUUUUUUUUUUUUUUUAUCGUUUCUCGACAAAAAUUAGUUUUUCGAAUUUCAAGGUUAAUUGUGUGGUCUAAUUUUUGAAUCACCAGCACCAAACCAAGCUUCUGAAAUAGUUACCAACUGUGUUUGGAUUUUGAAAAAUUCAGGUUUGGAUUGAAAAAGCAAAUUCUUGAAGGAGGAAUUGCGUUUAAUAAAGCGCACGGAAUGCAAAUCUAUGAUUACUUAGGCGUCGACUCAAGGUUCAAUGAUGUUUUCAACAAUGGAAUGUUAAGUCACACUUCUAUUGUCAUGGAGAAGGUCCUAGAAUCAUACAAAGGCUUUGAGCAUGUUAAAAAGCUUGUGGAUGUUGGCGGUGGCUUGGGGAUCACUCUUAAUAUGAUAAUUUCGAAAUACCCUCAUAUUAAGGGUAUUAAUUAUGACUUACCUUAUGUUAUUAAAGAUGCCCCAUCUUAUUCAGGUACUUUAUUUAUAAAAUCUGUAUAACAUAUUUGUUAAUGAUUCAUCGAUGCUACACUAGCUAACAAAAGUUAGUUUAUUUAAAUUUCAGGGAUAGAACAUAUCGGUGGAGAUUUGUUCGAAAGUAUUCCUGAGGCAGAUACUAUUUUUAUGAAGGUUUAUAUUUUCUUAUAUCACUUGAAAUCAUCAUAAGGAAAAAUUAAAUAGAGAGAAUGACAUUUUUCUCCCUAUUGUUUUUGAGUUAACACGUACCCUAACCAUGUUACUCACUUGGUAUUAGAACUUUGAUAGAAAAAUUCAAAGGGAUAAUAAGAUAUUAUGAAAACUAUUAAAAGAAAAAAAAAGGUAAAACUCAAAACUAUAUAUACAAGGAAAGUGUCAACAACUCUCUUUUUUUCUUCAAUGGUAAAAUGGGUGGGCAUAGCCCAAAUUAACUAAUUAUUGAUCCCAUAUCUCCCUUGAGUUCAAACUUGGGUGACAAUUAAAUAAAAUUGAUUGAAAACAAUUCGAUCAGGCACCUCGGGUGGAAAGUAUCAAUCUCUCUUCUUUAUGAAUGCUUUGUUCAAUCACAUAAAUUGAUCAUAGAUAUCCGGAAAAGAACAAAUGAGAAUUAAUAUGAAUACAUGGAACUUUUGCAGUGGAUGCUUCAUAGUUUUGAUGAUGAACAAGCCUUGAAAGUGUUGAAGAAUUGUUAUAAAGCUCUUCCAGAUGGUGGGAAGCUGCUUAAUAUUAAUUCGACAAUUUCGGAAAUGCCUGGGAAUAAUGUAGCUUCAAGGGAAAUCUCUAUUUUGGAUACGGUUUUGUUAGUCCAACUUCCUCAUGGAAGAGAGCGGACCAAACACGAGUACACUGAAUUGGCAGUCAAAGCUGGAUUUAAAGGUGUCAACUAUGAUUAUGGUGCGUGCAAUUUAUAUGUUAUGGAAUUCUUCAAAUAAAUUGCAUACUUAAUUUCAUUUUGGAAAGAUCUUCUCAACCCUUGGGGAGUUUCCAAUUUCCUAUUUGUGUUAAUUAUUUUCUCUUUUGCUUGGCCUUGGGGCUUGUCUUAUGUACUUUCUUUCAUCUUAUGAAAAUAAUACGUCUCUUAGAAAGAGAUUGAUGGCUGUAUGUGGUACUCCUUAUGUAAUCUUUUUCAGUUCAUACGUUCAGCAUGUGAUUUUUGGUUUAUUAUUGAGGCAAAAAAGAAGUAUUUUUAUCUUACCUUACUAUUAUUAUUAUUAUUUUUUGUUCAUUUCAAAGUUGAAAAAAUCAGUAAUGUAUAACUUUUUUAUCAUUUAAAGUAAGAACAUUUGACUUUUGAAAGAGUAGUUAUAGAGAACUCAUUAUAUGCCAUCUCAACCUCACACAAGAGUAAUUAAAACUAGAGCUAAUGUUAAAGUAGUUCUAAAUUUUGAAUUCAUUACAAACUUAUCCUAAAAAUUUGCCUUAGUGGAGUUUAUGUGUGGUACUGGUGUUUAUUUCAUUUUUAUUUCUAAAAAUAUAGUAAAUUAAGUGCACCACUAAGUGAACCAGAUGAAGACUGAAAAUUAUUAAAAAUGGAUUGUGGAGAUUUGGUUUUUCAUCAAACAACUACUAAGAGCUAAUAUUGCUCGAUGGAAAAAGAAAAAAGAAAACAAAUCUGAAUAUUAUGAUUAUCUUUGAAAGGUGCAUAGUGAAUAGAGAAAAAAAAAAAGAAAAAAUUUUGAGUUCCUUUAUUGGACGAGUAUUUUGAUUAGGAGAAAUUUUAUAAUGUUGUAAUUAAAAUGAUGGUAUUAAUGCCGUGAUAAAUAUGAAUUUUGUAAAUUACGCAUAAGACUAGUAAAUGAAAAGUAAAAUAAGUAAAUUAAUAUAAGAAUGGUAAAUUGGCGUCUUAAAACUACAAACUAAACAAAUGCUUAUAAAAAUAACAUAAAACUUGUAAAUCAACAUUAAACUUUAAUUAAAAAAAUAAUUUAUUCAUUUAAUUUACAUAAAUGAUGAAAAAAUCACUCAUCAAUUGAAAAAAAAAAACUAUUUAAAACAAUUGUAAUAAGUUUUUAUUGUAUUGGUUUAACUAUAUGUUCUAUAUUCAUUCUUGCACAUUAAAAAAACGAAUCUUUAAAAAAAAAUGAAUCUUUUUCUAUCUAUAGUAUUUGAUACUACACAUGUUAAUUAAGCAAAAAUUAUUUUUUUUUGACGUGAAUCAAGCAAAAAAAAAAAAAGAUUUUCUUAUAUGACUAGAUGUACAUGAUAUAUCAAUAAAAUUGGAUCUAAUUUUUAGUGUUAUAUAUACUUCAUGUAAUUUUAAACUAUGUUUCUUAUUGUACUUAAAGAUCAUUUGGGUUUACGGUCAAGGAGGCUUAAAAGGAUACAACAUCACCUUAUUUUACAAACAGUGAGGUUUGAAAGUCUAACUUUCAGGAUAUGUUUAUCAUUCUUAUAUUACUAGAUGUACAUGACAUAUCAAUAAAAUUGGAUCUAAUUUUUAGUGUUAUAUAUAUUUCAUGUAAUUUUAAACUAUGUUUCUUAUUGUACUUAAAGAUCAUUUGGGUUUACGGUCAAGGAGGCUUAAAAGCAUACAACAUCACCUUAUUUUACAAGCAGUGAGGUUUGAAUGUCUAACUUUCAGGAUAGGUUUAUCAUUAAUAAAAUUUCACAUAUGUCAUCACAUAUAUUAUACAACCUCAUAAUGUGACAAUUAGCUUAUAUAUUUACUAAUUUUGAUUCUAAAUUGAGUUUAGAAUCAAAAUUAUGAGCUAAUAGUCACAUUAUGAGUUUUUAUUUUAUAUUUGUAAGUUUUUAUUUUUACAUUAAGGUACUUGUUUUACCUUCUAUUUACAAGUAUUACAUUCUAUUUACAUCAUUUAUAUUUUAUUUUAUGAUUAAUGUUGAUUUACCACUUCUAUGUUACAUGUAUAAGUUUUUAUUUUGUUUAUCAAUAAUAUAAUGAUUUAUGACUUUUAUGUUAAUUUAUUUGUUUUACCUUCUAUUUACAAGUUUUAUGUCCCAUUUACUUUUAUUUACACUUUAAUGUUAAUUUACAAAUUUUAUAUUAUAUGUAUAAGUUUUUGUUUUAUUUACUAAUGAUACACCAAUUAACUACUCCUAUAUUAAUUUACUUAUUUUACCUUCUAUUUACAAAUCUUGUAUUCUAUUUAACACAAAUGUUGGCAUGAGAUUCCUGACAUAUUUCUAAAAUCAAAAUAAGAUGCAUAGAGGAUGAUCAUUUUAUUUCAUAAUUAAAAUUUUUGUAAAGAAAGUUUGAAUAUGAGAGGGGUGAGAGAUGAGAAUAUUGACGAUAGUGCGUACUUUGGAUGGAAAAAUAGAUUGAAAAUAUAUAUAGACAUAUUAAAAGAAAAAAAUCUGAUCUAUACCUCAAGAGAAAUAAGAAAUUAUAAAUGCAGGUGGUCAAAUGUAUUUAUAAUUUAUAAUUUUUUAUAAAUAUGAUAAUCAUUAGACCCAUAUAAAAGUAUAGCAAAAUGUUUAAAUUUUUUUUAAUAAAUGUAGAAGAGAUGGACGAAGAAAACAGCCACCAGUUCAGAAUUAACAAUCAAAGAUAUGAGGACUUGAUCGAAGAAAUGUGAAAAAUAAAAGGACACUGGGUUGGUUAGCGGGACCCUAAUUUAAUGGUAAAAAAUAAAAGGACACUGGGUUGCUAUCAAUUUCUACGGUGUGGUAGGUUCAUAGCAGGGGAAGUAAUUAUAUUAGCGGGACCCUAACAUUAAUAAAAGGACACUGGGUUGUUUAGCGGGACCCUAAUAUUAAUGGUAAAAAAUAAAAGGAAACUGAGUUGGUAUCAAUUUCUACGGUGUAGGUUCAUAGCCGGGGAAGUAAUUAUAUUAGCGGGACCCUAAUAUUAAUGGAGACCUAAUAUUAAUGAUAAAAAAUAAAAGGACACUGGGUUACAAUCAAUUUCUACAGAGUGGGUUCAUAGCCGGAGAAGUAAUUGGGCACAAAUAUCAUGGUGAACACGGAUGAGAAAUAACCAUUUUAUCCCCGCAACUUUAUGUUUAUGGCCUCUAAAAAUUUUCACCUCUUUCACUUCUGGACCCGCGCUUUCUGGCACAUGCACGAUACUUGGUUGCGACUUAUAGAGAGUUUUAGAAUUGCAACGACAUGGUGCUCUUUGAUAAUUCAAAAAUCCAAUAGAAUUUAUAGAGAAUUACAGAAUUGUGGUACGUGAUAAUUUGCUGAUGCAGUGAGGGGCCGAAAUUCUUGUACAUGUGAUUAAGUUAGAGAUGUAUAAUUAAGUAAUUAGCAAGCACUAAUGGGGGGUAUUUGUGUCCAUGAAAAUUUACGGUUGGUUGUUGACAUUAUACUGUGGGUGCGUAAGUGUAAUCACGAUCUGACCAUUCAAAUUAAAAAAUGGGGGUCCCACUAACUAUAAAGUUAAUAAUUAUCACAUAAACAGGGGGAAUUUUAGGUGCAACUGUGACACCGUGCCACAGUUGCACCUAGUCAUUGGAUGUCAGUAGACUCUAUUACUCCAACUGCAUCCAACGGUUAGAUGCAAUUGUGGCACGGUGCCACAGUUACACCGUAGCCUGAUCCCAUAUACAGAUAUGGUCGCAUAUGAAAAUCUUAUCAUAAAUUGAAAGGAUUCGAUGACUUAAUUGAAGUUAUGAACGGAUAUUUAAAUAAAAGAAAAUUUAUAAUAAAGAACAAGUAUUAAUUUGUUAUGAAUGUAACUUAUAUAAGCUGUAAGUUAGCGGGACUCUUCAAGUAAUUCUAAUAUUUUGAUUUUUAAUUUUUAUAUUUUAAAAAAUAUCUUCUGUAGUUAAAUAUAUUUUAUUUUUAUCCUUACUUUUACUUUACUUUUACAAUAAUAGCCUUCUAAAAAUUUUUUAACAUUAAUUAAGUUAUUUAUAAAAUUUUAAUUAUAAAAUUAACUAAUAAUUAUUUAUUAAUAAAUUAACUAAUAAAUAUCAGUACGAAAGAACUAAUAUUUUUUUAACCCAUGCAAUAAUCUUGCAAAUAAUUUUUUUAUAAAUAAAAAUUAAUAUCAACUAACUUAAAGUGGUUUUUAAUAUCCUUACAAUAAUUAUAUUAAUAUUUAUUUAUAAAAAAUUAAUUUGCCAAAUUAAUCUUAAAACUAAAUUAAUAACAUAAAAAUUUAUAAAACUAAUUAUUUUACUUUUCAUCGGCUGCAAUUUGUUGAAACUUGGGUGAAGACAAAUUGAGAUCUUAGAAAUCUCCAAUGAGAUAAUAAAAUAUAAUACAUAUGUUAGGUCUUUGUUCUUUAGGGAAUAGAUCCUAUUGAAAUUUGAACACGAAUAUCGAUUACUCACAAAUAAAACAAAUUUGCUGAGGCGGCUCGACUAAGACGUACGGGCAGCAUAAUUAAGUCCUCAUAACUCUCAAGUGCAGGCAUCAAAAAAUCAAAACUGAGAAUGACUGGUGAUAUAUAUAUAUAUAUAUAUAUAUAUAUAGACACCUCAAGCAAUUAAGAAAGAAGCAAAUUAUAAUCAUGGCUUCUAUAGCUGAUCAGGAAGAAGAGACAAAUAAUUUCUCACAUGCAAUGGGACUUGCAAGUGCAAUAGUGCUACCUGCAGUUAUGCAAGCAGUGGUAGAGCUUGAUGUGUUUGAGAUCAUAAGCAAAGCCGGUCCUGGUGCUAAGCUUUCGGUUGCGGAGAUUGUGGCUCAAAUUCCCUUAAAAGAUAAUAAUCCUGAAGCUGCAGCCACGACGUUGGAUCGGGUGCUGAGGCUGCUUGUCAGCUACAACGCUCUUCAUUGCUCUUUUGUCGAUGGACAAAGGCUCUACUCUCUUGCUCCUGUUUCUAAACACUUUGUUCGCAACAAUCGAGACGGCGUGUCGUUGCGUCCCUACAUGGCCUUGUGUCUCGACAAGAUCUGCUUGGAUGGCUGGUACAUAGAACUGCUUCUUUUCUUUACCGUUUCAGUAAAUCGAUCAUUUUCAUUCUCAUGAUUUAAAAUCGAUUAAACUCUGUUAAAAAGAUAUUUAAUUUUCAUUUAAUUUACCAUUAAUGUUAUAAAUGACACAAAAAGUUGAAAGUUAAUAAUUUCUUUUUUUUUAAUGACGGAGGAUUCUCAAAUAUGAAAACAAAAAUGAUUGAUUUUAACGAACAACAACGUUUUUUUUUUUUUUUUUUUAUCGUUUCUCGACAAAAAUUAGUUUUUCGAAUUUCAAGGUUAAUUGUGUGGUCUAAUUCUUGAAUCACCAGCACCAAACCAAGCUUCUGAAAUAGUUGCUAACUGUGUUUGGAUUUUGGAAAAUUCAGGUUUGGAUUGAAAAAGCAGAUUCUUGAAGGAGGAAUUGCGUUUAAUAAAGCGCACGGAAUGCAAAUCUAUGAUUACCUAGGCGUCGACUCAAGGUUCAAUGAUGUUUUCAAUAAUGGAAUGUUAAGCCACACUUCUAUUGUCAUGGAGAAGGUCCUAGAAUCAUACAAAGGCUUUGAGCAUGUUAAGAAGCUUGUUGAUGUUGGCGGCGGCUUAGGAACUACCCUGAACAUGAUAAUUUCCAAAUACCCUCAUAUUAAGGGUAUUAAUUAUGAUCUGCCUUAUGUCAUUAAAGAUGCCCCAUCUUAUCCUGGUAUGUUAUUUACAAAAUUUAUAUAGUAUGUUGGGUAAUGAUUUAUUGAUGCUACCCUAACUAAAAGAUGUGAAUUUAUUUAAAUUUCAGGCAUCGAACACGUGGGUGGAGAUUUAUUCGAAAAUGUUCCUGAGGCGGAUACCAUUUUCAUGAAGGUUUUUUCUCUCUAUCUAUAUAUAUAACUUUGAAAUGAUAAUUAUCAAGAGAAUGACAAUUUUCUCCUUACUGCUUUUGAGUUUUACAAUUUACUCAUUUGACGUCAAUUUUUUCAUUGAAAAACUCAAAAGGAUAACAAGAUAUUAUGAAAAUCGAAAAAAAAACAAUAAAACUCAAAAAUAGUAUACCGGAAAAAGUGUAAAUCUAUCUUGUCUAUGAAUUGAUAAUUGAUAUUCAAUUACAACUAAUUAAUGAGAAUUGAUAUGUAUAUGAAUUUUUUUUUGCAGUGGAUGCUUCACAAUUUUGAUGAUGAGCAAACUUUGAAAUUGUUGAAGAAUUGUUACAAAGCUCUUCCAGAUGGUGGGAAGCUGCUCAAUAUUAAUUCAACAAUUUCAGAAGUGCCUCAAAAUAGUGCGGCUUCAAGGGAAAUCUCUAUUUUGGAUACAAUUUUGUUGAUCCAAAUUCCUCAUGGAAGAGAGCGCACCAAACAAGAAUACAAUGAAUUGGCAAUUAAAGCUGGAUUUAAAGGUGUCAGCUACGAAUGUGGUGUAUGUAAUUUAUAUGUUAUGGAGUUCUUGAAAUAGAUUGCUUUUUUCUCUAUUCGGAAAGAUCUCCUUAGCUUUCUUGGGUUGUUUUCAAUUUCCGGUUUGUCUUGUUAUCUCUUUCCUUUGGAUUGAGGGCUUCUCUUAUGUAAUCUCUUUCGUUUUAUCAAUAAUAAAUCUCUUAUAGGGAGAUUGAUUCCCGUAUAAGGCAGCUCUUGCGUCAUCUCUUUCAUGAAUCAUGUUAUCAAUAAUACACCUUAUUGAAGAUGCCAAAAAUUCGAAUGUAGCAUUUUUUUUUUCCUGAAAAUUUGAAAAUAUUUGAAUUUAAUUAAUUUGAAACUCUGGUUAAAUCUAAAUAUAUAAACCUAAAUGAUAUUUCAUUUUUCUUUGUUAAAGUCUAAUCAUACUUAUUUUUAUUGGUAAAAACAUCCUAAAAACUAGUUUUUGACAUAUAUGUCUUUAAAUUAUUAUACACUUUUGUGUUUGUUGUAUUUACAUGUACGAAUAUUUAUAAUUAGAUAUUUGACAGGUACAAACAAAAAAUUAUAUUAAUAUGCUGUGUUAACUUUCAAAAGCCCAUAGUCCUUUUUGGACCAUAAAUAGAUAGAUCCACCCUUGUGUACAGGGCUGAUUUUUCCACAGAGCAGGCGUUUUGACACUAUUCUAAAUUCUUUAUAAAAUCUCUCUUUAAUUAAAUUACCUAAAUAACUAAGAAUAAAUUAAUUUCCUUUUUGUUUUGAAUGAAAAAUUAAUUAAACACUGAAAUAAACUAUUCUUUUAAUUUUUUACGCCCACCCAAUUUCAUAAUUUAUGCUUAUAUUUUAAAAUGCAAUUGAACAUAAUUUUUCUUAAGAAACUUUUAACAAUUAUGAAGAUAGAAAUCAUAUAACAAGAAAAAAAUAUUGUAAGAUUUUAAUAUUUGUAUGCAUUUAUAAUUAAAACAUAAAAGAAAUACUAUUUUUGGGUCAAAUUUAAUGACAAGAUGAUUGAUUUUAAUUUAUCAGUAUUUUAUAGUUAAAUUGGGGUAUCUUAAGCAAUAGGGUACAAAAGGGGUGCUGUAAGAGCUUUUUGCUUUAAGGAUUUUUUUAAAGUAUCUUAAAAGCUCCACUCUUUUUGAUAUAUCUAGAUUAGUGGUGAAUACUCUCUAGAUUAGUGGUGAAUACUUUAUAACAUGGUUUUUUUUUUUUUACUUUUAUAAUAAUACUUGACAUUUAAUAUUUAAAUCCUAAUUUGAAUCUUAACUAUAUGUCACUUAUCUAUUAAAUAAUGAAUAUAAUAUUACUUAUUACUCUAAUCGAUCAUCUAAUAAAUUAAUGUCACAUUUAAUGAGACUUAAAAUUUAGGAUCUAUAGCAUAAGUCACUAGAGUAGGAAAAAAAUUUGAGUUCCUUUACUAGACGAGUAUUUUGAUUAGGAAAAACUCUAUAAUGUUGUAAUUAAAAUGACGGUAUCAAUACCGUGAUAAAUACGAAUUUUUUAAAUCACGCAUAAGGCUAGUAAAUGAAAAGUAAAAUAAAUAAAUCAAUAUAAAGUGGUAAAUUGGCAUCUUAAAACUGCAAACUAAACAAAUACUUAUAAAAAUAACAUAAAACUUGUAAAUCAACAUUAAACUUUAAUUAAAAAAUAGUUUAUUCUCAUUCAAAAAAUAGUUUAUUCAUUUAAUUUAAAUAAAUGAUGAAAAAAUCACUCAUCAAUUGAAAAAAAAAAUUAAAAACAAUUGUAAUAAGUUUUAUUGAAUUGGUUUAACUAUAUAUUCUAUAUUCAUCCUAGGACAUUUACCACAAAAAAAAAAAAUUCUUUCUAUAGAUUUUGUUAGCCUAUAUGGCUAUAGAUAUUGAUUUUGAUGAUAACAAACCACAUAUAUUGAUUAAACAAAGAUUUAUGAAUUGUGCUUUUAUAAUAAGAAAAUGAUGUUAUGGAAUUAAAGUGUUUUGGACUAAAAUGAAAGUAUUUUAAAACCUUUGAUAUUGUUUUAAAAUUUCAGAUUUGGACAUAUUUGAAACUAUUUAAAUAUUUUGGGUCAUUUUAUAAUUUCACAUAGUUUGGGUGAAAUCAUAAUUUCAGAAAGUUUUGAGAUUGACAAAGUAUUAUUUAGAAACUCUGAAAUUGGACCUAUUUGAAAGCUUUCAUAACGUUUUGGGCCAUAAUAUAGUUUUAUAAAGUUUUGGGGUCAAACUAUAAAUUUAGAAAAUAUUUCACGGUAGCAGUUACUGUAGCAAGCGUCUAACCGGAUAUGGUAAACGGCAAUCCGAAUUUUAGGCAGUAAGCUUCUGGAGCAUAAACGACUAUCCGGAUUUCAAAAGCGGCUAUCCGGAUUUCAAAAGCGGCUAACUGGAUAUGAAAAGCGGCAUGCCGGAUAUUCUGAAAUUCAAAUUUUUGCUUUAACGGUAACAUGAAAGCGGCUAACCGGAUUCCAUAAACGGUAAGCCGGUUAUGACCAAAAAGUGCAUAACGACUAGUUUUUGAGCUCAAACUAUAUAAACUCAAAACCAAUUCAUUUUUGGUAAUCUUGGCAAGCAAAAAAAAGUGCACACAACAUAUAUUGAGUUUCAAUUUCGUAAAUCAUCAUUUAUUAAAUCAUCUUUGUUCUUCAAUUUGUAUAUCCACUCUUAAAAGAGAGUUUCAUUGUUGUAAUUUUCAUUUCUCAUCAAAUUGUGAGUGUACAAGUGUGAGAAACACUUGGGGUGAAGAGAUUGGAGAGAUAAUCUCUUGUUGUAAAGGUUCAUUGACACCUUGAAGUCAAUUGUAAAUGUUUGAAGCCUUGGAAAGGCUCGGAUAGUGAAAUCCUCAAGUCCGGUGUGCUUGGAGGCGUGGACGUAGGCGGGAAUUGCCGAACCACAUAAAAAUCCUUGAGUUUGCUUUCUCUUCCCUUGCUAAUUUUUUAUUGUGCUUUCAUUGAAUUUAUUAUUUUCGAAUUUAUUAAGGCAUUAGAUUGGAUUGUUGUGUGGUUUGCUUAGCUUAAUUUUUAAAAUCUCAAUUCACCCCCCCUCUUGGGUUGCCUAGUUAGUAUUUCAUUUGGUAUCAGAGCGAGGUGCUCUUGUGUAGACUUAACCAUCUAGAGUUAAAGAUCAAUGGCAACCCAAUAUGACUCAACAUUUAGGGAAUGACAGUCCACAAUUAGACCACCGUUCUUUGACAGAAAUGACUACUCGUAUUGGAAAACUAGGAUGAGAAUUUAUUUACAAGCACUAGAUUAUGAAAUUUGGGAAGUUGUUUGUGAUGGUCCUUUUAUGCCUUGGAUUAAAAAUGAAGUCGGGGAAGAUAUUUCAAAACCUUCACGGGAAUGGAAUGAAUUGGAAAAGAGAAAAGCUACUCUAAAUUCCAAAGUUAUGAAUGCCUUGUUUUGUGCACUAGAUAAGAAAGAAUUUCAUAGAGUAUCUAGUUGUGAGAGUGCUAAUGAAAUUUGGCACAAACUUGAAGUUGUUUAUGAAGGCACGAAUCAAGUGAAAGAGUCUAAAAUUUGUAGGUACACUCGGCAAUAUGAAUUGUUCCAAAUGGAACAAAAUGAGAGUGUGUAUUCUAUGUAUACUAGAUUUACGGACAUAGUGAACACUCUAGGAGCCCUAGGAAAGACUUUUUCAAAUAGCGAGAAAGUUAAGAAAAUUAUUAGGUCGCUACCUAAGGAAUGGAGACAAAAAAGGACUGUAAUUGAGGAAGUCAAAGAUUUAAAUAUCUUACCUAUUGAUGAUUUAGUUGGUUCUCUUAUUUCUUAUGAGGAAGACUUGGCAGCCGAAAAAGGCAAUGGGGAGAAGAAUAAAAGCAUUGCUCUCAAAGCCUCAAAAUAUAAGAGUGAUGAGGAAAGCGAGCUGGAUGAGGAGGAGAUGGAUAUGCUGGCUAGGAAGUUCAUAAAUUUUUUAAGAAAUCCAGUGAGCGAAGAAAAUUUAGAGACCUCAAGAACCGAAAGGAGAAGAAGGAAGUAAUCAAAUGUUAUGAGUGCAAGAAACCUGGCCAUAUAAGAUCAGAAUGCCCUCUUCUCAACAAGCUCAAAAAGAAAGCAAUGGUAGCCACAUGGGAUGAUAGCGAGGAGGAAACAAGUGAUGAUGAAGAGCAUCAAGAAAUGACAAAUCGAUCUCUUAUGGCAAUUGGAGAUGAAUCGGAUGAUGAACUUGAUGAGGUAAAUGAUCUUCCUACUUAUGAUGAAUUACAUGAUACUUUUAAAGAAUUGCAUGAUGAGUGGAUGAAAAUUGAUAAAAAGAAUACAUGUCUUAAAAAGAAAAUGGUAGAGCUCAAAAAUGAAAAUCAAUCUCUAUGUGCAAAGAUUACAUGCCUAGAAUUAGAGAAUAAAAUAUUGCAUGAUAGAGUUGUAUUAUCAAAUGAGAAACCUAGCACUUCACAUGAGCAUAUAGAAUAUCACAUAGAUGACUUGAAAAAAGAAAAUGAAAUGCUUAAGAAGAAGAGCAAUGAGUUAAAUGAGAUUGUUUUAAAAUUUACAAAUGGACAAAAGAUGUUGGAUAACUUGAUUAAUUCACAAAAAUGUGUGUUUGAUAAAGGAGGACUUGUUUAUAAGUCAAAUUUGAAACAAAAGUAUUAUAAGAACUACUUUGUGAAGAGUACAUCUAUUAACAAUCAAGUUGUAUGUCAUUAUUGUAAUCAAAACGGUCACAUAAAGUUUGGUUGUCCUAUCAAAAGAAAAGUAUAUUAUGGAGUAAAAUGUGUUUGGGUUCCAAAAGGAACCAUUGCUAACACUCAAGGACCCAAUAAUAUUUGGGUACCAAAGGACACAACGUGAAUGUUUUCUUUGUAGGUACCACAAUCAAGGAAUUGGGGAGAAAUUCCUUGAUGAAAGCUUGUGAGGAUAAUCACUUGAGUAUGAUCUAAGAGAAAAAGAUGAGGCAUGAUGAUUUAAUUGUUUUGGUAACAAUUCUUGCCAUAUUAAUUUUGUUGAAUGAAUCAUGAUAAAUGAAUUUGCGAAAGUAUGCUUGUAUGUUUACAUGAUGGAAUUAUCAUUGUGUAUAACAUUGAGUGAUUUAUCAUGAUGUCUUUAUUUGAUUUUGAUGAUUGUAUGGUCUUUGAUUUCAUCUUCUUAAUUGUCUAUCAUCAUUGUCCAUCUCUUAUAUAUGUGUGAACUCAUAUGCCAUUAAUUGUGUUAUAUCAUCAUUCAUUUAUAAAAUUGACAUCAUUGUUUGAUACGAUUUCAUAUGUUUGGUCUUGUAUACAUUUAUGUCUCAUGCAUGAAAUGGCUUAUUGAAAAAUUUUGAAUCUCAAAAUGAUUCAAAAAUUGAUCAAUUUUUAAGCUGAAAAUAAAUUGGUGUGUGUAAUACAAGUCUAAGAAUUUACUAAACUUAAAAAAUAUUCUCCAUAUUUUAACCGAUAAACCUCUUCUAAUCAAUCGAAAAACCAUUCUUCUUAUUGAUUAUUCUCUAAGUCAUAUUCCAGAUAACCGGAUUGGAAAACCAGUAAACCAUUUAAAGAGAAUUUGGUUUCUGGAAAGAACCGGUCAGCCGGUUAUGAAAUCCGGAAAACCGGAUCUAGUUUGAUGCUUGCUGGACACAACCGGAUAGCCGGUUAUGAGAUCCGACAAACCGGAUUUGCGUUGUUUACUUGCUGCCUCCAACCGGAUAACCGGAUUCGUGACCAUUCAUCACUGGACUUAACCGGAUUACCGGUUAUGUAAACCGGAAACCUGAAUUCACGUUGCACACUCACUGGACCACAACCGGCUAACCGGUUAGUGAAAUCCGGUAAGCCGGAUUCGGGCAUUCAUAUUUUGUUCAUCCUCUUCUCCUUCAUUCAAUCAAUUGGUUACUCUCUCACUAAAAACCACUUCCUCUCUCACGCAAUAUCUCUCUAAAAUCCAUCAAUCUCAUCCUUUUUCACUUCAAAUCCUUUAUACUUGUAUUUGAACACACCAACAUUUACUAUUUUAUUUUUCUUUUAUUUUGCAUUUGGAUUAUAUGGAUGUUUGCUAUGAUUUUGGAUUAUAUGUCUGUUUUGAAUAUGGAUUUGAUAUAGUUAUAUGUUAUGUUCUUUACUUAUGUUUUGGAUAAUUUUGAACUAAUGUGCUUGAUUUGAGGUUUUGAUGAUUGAUAGAGGGAGACAAAUAUGAUAUGUUUUUUGAUAAAAUCAUUUGGUUAAAAUUUUAAAUUGGUCAUAUAUUUAAGGGGAGCAUAUAAUAUGAUUUUGAAUAAUAUGCAUUUUGAACUUUUUUAUUGUCCAAAGGGGGAGACAAAGUAAUAUAUCAUUUCGAUGUUGUUAAAAAGAGGAGAAUAAUAUACACUUUAAGUAUUCUUUUAAUGAUUGAUAUUUGAUUAUGAUGAUGAUUUUGAGAUAAUGAUGAUUUGAUUACAUAGUUGUUUUAUAUGAUAAUUUUAUGUUAUGAGUUGUUGAUUUGGUAAUUAAUGGAAUAAUGGUUCAUGAUAUUUUGGUGUGAUGAUUUGUGUAUGGAGUUGGCUUGUAUCAUGAUUUAUAAUAAUUUGUGAGUAAUAUUACUAAACUUAUAUUUGAGGUAAUGCUUGUUGUUAGGGGGAGAAUGUGUUGAAAUUUCUACUCGGACAAACAUGAGUAAUAAAUUUGUUACUCUUAUUCUUUUCCUUUAAGCUUUCUUUUUUAUGAUGAAGGAGGAGAAUAAUAUAAAAAGUGUUAUAAAAAUAUGCAUGUAUCCAGGGGGAGUAUGCAUGUAUGCAGGGGGAGUCUUUUUAAAUAAUUUUUAAAUCAAAUUUUUAACCUUGCAUUGAUUAAGGGGGAGCUUUUCAUAACUAGAUUAAAUUUUUAUAAUGUGCUUUGUCAUCAUAAAAAAUGAGGAGAUUGUUAGCCUAUAUGGCUAUAGAUACUGAUUUUGAUGAUAACAAAUCACAUGUGUUGAUUAAACAAAGAUUUAUGAAUUGUGCUUUUAUAAUAAGAAAAAUGAUGUUAUGGAAUUAAAGUGUUUUGUACUAAAAUGAAAGUAUUUUAAAACCUUUGAUAUUGUUUUAAAAUUUUGGAUUUGGACCUAUUUGAAACUAUUUAAAUAUUUUAGGUCAUUCUAUAAUUUCACAUAGUUUGGGUGAAAUCAUAAUUUCAGAAAGUUUUGGGAUUGACAAAGUAUUAUUUAGAAACUCUGAAAUUGGACCUAUUUGAAAGUGUUCAUAACGUUUUGGGCCAUAAUAUAGUUUUAUAAAGUUUUAGGGUCAAACUGUACAUUUAAAAAAUAUUUCCACUCUUAAAGAGAGUUUCAUUGUUGUAGUUUUCAUUUCUCAUCAAAUUGUGAGUGUACAAGUGUGAGAAACACUUGGGGUGAAGAGAUUGGAGAGAUUAUCUCUUGUUGUAAAGGUUCAUUGACACCUUGAAGUCAAUUGUAAACGUUUGAAGCCUUGGAAAGGCUCGGAUAGUGAAAUCCUCAAGCCCGGUGUGCUUGGAGGCGUCGACGUAAGCGAGAAUUGCCGAACCACGUACAAAUCCUUGAGUUUGCUUUCUCUUCCCUUGCUCAUUUAUUAUUGUACUUUCAUUGAAUUUAUUGUUUUUAAAUUUAUUAAGACAUUAGAUUGAAUUGUUGUGUGAUUUGCUUAGCUUAAUUUUUAAAAUCUCAAUUCACCCCCUCUUGGGUUGCCUAGUUAGUAUGUCAGAUUUGAUACUACACAUGUUAAUUAAGCAAUUUUUUUUUUGACGUGAAUCAAGUAAAAACAAAAUAGAAAGAUAUUCUUAUAUUACUAGAUGUACAUGAUAUAUCAAUAAAAUUGGAUCUAAUUUUAGUUUUAUAUAUACUUCAUGUAAUUUUAAACUAUGCUUCUUAUUGUACUUAAAUAUCAUUUAGGAUUACUGUCAAGGAGGCUUAAAAGAAUACAAAAUCACCUUAUUUUACAAACAGUGGGGUUUGAAAGUCUAACUUUGAGGAUAGGUUUAUUAUUAAUAAAAUUUCAUACAUAUCAUCACAUAUAUUACACAAACUCAAAACUAUAAUUAUUUAAUUUAGAAUCAAAAUUAGUAAAUAUAUAAGCUAAUCGUCACAUUAUGAGUUUUUAUUUUAUAUUUGUAAGUUUUUUUUUAAAUAACUCUUACAUUAAGUUACUUGUUUUACAUUCUAUUUACAAGUAUUAUAUUCUAUUUAUAUCAUUUAUAUUUUAUUUUAUGCUUAAUGUUGAUUUACCACAUCUAUGUUACAUGUAUAAAUUUUUAUUUUGUUUAUCAAUAAUAUACUGAUUUACCAUUUUUAUGUUAAUUUAUUUGUUUUACCUUCCAUUUACAAGUUUUAUGUCUCAUUUACUUUUUUUAUGUUGUAUUUACACUUUAAUGUUAAUUUACAAGUUUUAUAUUAUAUGUAUAAGUUUUUGUUUUAUUUACUAAUGAUACACCAGUUUACUACUCCUAUAUUAGUUUACUUAUUUUACCUUCUAUUUACAAAUCUUGUAUUCUAUUAAUAUAAUUUACAUUUUAUUUUACACUUAAUGUUGAUUUAUAAGUUUUAUGAUACAUCUAUAAGUUUUUAUUUUGUUUACUAAUAAAACAUUAAUUUACCACUCCUAUGUUGAUUUACUUGUUUUAUCUUCCGUUUACAUGCUUAAUGCUUCACUUAUAUAAUUUAUGUUUUAUUUUAUACUUUAUGUUAAUUAACAAGUUUUAUAUUACAUUGUAAGUUUUUAUUUUAUUUACUAUUGAUACAUCAAUUUAUUACUCUUAUAUUAAUUUACAUGUUUUACCUUUCGUUUAGAAGUUCUAUAUUCCAUUUACAUAAUUUAUAUUUUCAUUUACACUUUAUGUUGAUUUACAAGCAUUAUGCUAUAUUUGUAAGUUGUUGUUUUGAUUAACUAAUUUACAAAUCAUAUUUUAGUUUUAUUGUUUUAUCUUACAUUAAGUCAUUAACAAGUCUUAUGUUUUAUUUAUAUAAUUUAUGUUUGGAUAAAUAUUCAAUUAAUCCCAAUAUUUUGACUUUAAUGCCCAUUUAGUUCCUAUAUUUUAAAAAGUACCUCAAAACACCCAUGUAGUUAAAUAAAUUUUAUUUUUACCCUUGCUUUUGCUUUACUUUUACAAUAAUAGCCUUCCAAAAAAAAUUUAACAUUAAUUAGGUUAUUUAUAAAAAUGUAAUUAUAAAAAUUAACUAAUAAUUAUUUAUUAACAAAUUAAUCAAUAAAUAUCAGUAUGACAGAACUAAUAUUUUUCUUAAACCCAUGCAGUAAUCUUGCAAAUAGUUUAUUUAUAAAUAAAAAUUAAUAUCAACUAACUUAAAGUGAUGUUUAAUAGCCUUACAACAAUUAUAUUAAUAUUUAUUUUAUAAAAAAAUAGUUUAGCAAAUUAAUCUUAAAAGUAAAUUAAUAACAUAAAAUUUUUUAAAAAUAAUUAUUUUAUUUUUCACCAGCUGCAGUUUGUUGAAACUUGGUGAAGACAAAUUGAGAGCUUAGAAAUCUCCAAUGAGAUAAUAAAAUAUAUAUGUUAGGUCUUCGUUCUUUAAAGAGUAGAUCCUAUUGAAAUUUGAAAAGGAAUAUCGAUUACUCACAAAUAAAACAAAUUUGCUGAGGCGGCUCGACUAAGACGUACGGGCAGCAUAACUAAGUCCUCAUAACUCUCAAGUACAGGCAUCAAAAAAUCAAAACUGAGCAUGAUGUGUGAUAUAUAUAAAUAUAUAUAUAUUCCUCUCAAGGACUAUAUAUAGAUUUAUAUAGUCCUCUUAACUCUCAAGGACAGGCAUGAAAAUAUCAAAACUGAGGAUGAUGGGUGAUAUAUAUAAAUAUAUAUAUAUUCCCUGCCUUGUAAGACAAGGUCCUCAAGCAAUUAAGCAAGAAGCAAAUUAAAAUCAUGGCUUCUAUAGCUGAUCGGGAAGAAGAGGCAAAUAAUUUCUCAUAUGCAAUGGAACUGGCAAGUGCAAUAGUGCUACCUGCAGUUAUGCAAGCAGUGGUAGAGCUUGAUGUGUUUGAGAUCAUAAGCAAAGCCGGUCCUGGUGCUAAGCUUUCGGUUUCGGAAAUUGUGGC